CAUAAUGUGGUGGUUUCUCUCCCUUGGGAGGUUUACCAAUUGGGGUUGGUGGCUUGUGUUCUGGGAGUGGUUUCUCUCCCUUGGGAGGUUUAGUGGGUGACUUGUGUUCUGGAGGUGGCUUCUCCACCGAAGGCUUGUGCUCCGGUGGUGGCUUUUUGGUUGGAGGGGGCUUGGGGUAAUCAGCAAGAGAUGGGGUGGUGAGAACCACCAGUCCAAGGAACAACACUAGCAAGUAUGUGGGAGACAUUUUUGAGUUUGGGCUGAUCAGAUGAUGCAAAACUAAAGCAUUACGUGACCUUUUAUAGCAAGUAGCUCCCAAUACCUACUUGACACGUGUUACUGUGACCCAUAAAUAUUAUGGGGUCUAUUUGUGCCCUACCGGGUUGAAAACUUGGACAAUUGGGCAAGGACCCGCCUGACUAUGGAGGACUACUGAGGUGUGAUCACAGCUUUAGGAUUUUUCUUCCUCUGCAGCCGUCUUGCCGUUGGCAUGAUUUUCUUAAUCUCAAAUAAAGGCAUAGUUAUAGAGUUGUUUAAUCUCUAAAUGGGAUUUUAUAUAUCUUCAGAUAGCCAUUAAUACAUUUGAUGAAGAAAGAAAGACAAGUGCAUACAACAUGUAUACGACUAGCUUUCAUGGAGUUCAUUUAUGAUCAGUUUUCCUGUACAUGUAAACCAAGAUCAUAUAUGUUUUUGUUCCACAACAAUUUUGGAAUCUUGUUUAUCCGUUUUUAUCAUUAUAAUGUCACAUAGGCUGCCAACUUGGGCGCUAAAUUAAAGAUCCAGUUGGGCAAGUUCGUUUCAGAAUUUCAAUGGUGGAUUCAGGAAUUGUUUUAUAAGAUAUGCAAAAUAGUAGAGGGAUGAAUAGUGUUUCAUUAAGAAAAGAGCCCUGUAAAAAUAUUGUUUAAAGGUGCCAUAGAAACUAUAAUCAAUAAAUAACUUUUUUUCCCCAUGGGUGGUGUUUCUUGUGGGGAUCAGUGACUGGUUUGAGUCAACGCCGUGUCUCUUUAGUCCAGAAAUCAACUAUUUUAUGCAUUGAAUACAUCAACAAAGAAAAUAUGAAAGCCAAAUGACACCUCCCCCGCAAAAACUAAACCCUGGUUGCUAACUUUCUAUGUUUCAGUUCCAUUCACACAAGAAUAUUAGUUCAAGUUUGAGAAAAAUGGCGACUUACCUAGUGAUAACUCGGUCUUGGUUUGCGAUUUGACUUUAACGUCAUGGGUUGAAGCCUCCUACAAUCAUCGUGUAUGCUAGUUCAAAGCUCGUGGAAGAAGUUAUACAGGGAGGGAGAAACCUCCACAGCAAGCUCCAAAAGAGAAUUAUCACAUUGAAAGCUCCAGUUGAACACUGGGUGAAAGCCAUAACAAGAUUGGUUUUCUAUCGCUCUUUUAAGUAAUGGAAGAUUAUUAUCUCUGCUUGUCACUACAACCGUGCAUGCUGCUAGAUCUUUCUAGACACUUCAAACAGUGAAACCAAGUAUGAUUCUUUUUCUCUUGAGUGGGUCCACUUGCAUGCCAAUGAACGAGUUGAAAAGUUGGACAAUUGGCCACAGCGCGCACUUACCUUCUGGAACCGAAGGUCAGUGAAGUGGGGUUCCUUUUGGCCCCUUGUGUUUCUGUUCCAACCUACUCCAGGAACCGAAGUUCAGUGAAGUGGGGCUACUUUUGGCCUCUUGUGUUUCUGUUCCAACCAAACAAAAAUGGGAGGGAAAAAUAGCAUUAUGCUUGUGCUAAAGAUCAACGCAUGAUAGCUGAAUAAGGGAGAAAAAGGCAUUGCUAUCUCAAUUUCAUAAACUUGAUAAGUAGUGACAUUAAUAGUCUUCCUCAUAGAUGGAUACAUGGUUUUAUUUUAUUUAUUUAUUUUUAUUUUUUUGUUUUAUGUCAAUGCUAAUGAAUGAAGUGCAUUAGCUUGUUUUGUGACUAGAACUACAAAUGUCCAAAUUGGAGCUUCUCCAAUAUAUUUCUCAGUGAGUUAUUGAUUAGAACUCUUGGAUUGAGUUCCAAGAUUUGAAUCAGACCCCUCUAGCAGCUUCAGGGGUACGUAGCAACCUAUAGCAUAUUAAUGAAGACUUAGGAUUUAGACUUAGGAAUACAAAUUAAUAUGUACCUCAUGCUCUGACUAGCUUCCCUGCGUAUGCACAAAAUGGAGAUGACUCCCAAAAAAAUAGCAGAAUCGCCUUAGUAUGUUUUUGUGGUUAAGAUGAUUCUCCACUUUAUAUAUCCACAUUGGUUCAUUAUGCAAAUUAAUCAACUAAGCUAUUUUUAUUUUUUCUUAAAUGUGAAAUAGGAGCUCCAAAUUAACCUAACCAUUGGCCUGAUUGAAUUGAUUUCACUUGCAUAAUGUUAUAGUAGAAGUCCGUAAUUUGAAUUUUAUUUUUGCAAAAGGUAACGUAAAUGAAGCAUUGUAAUUAAAUUUAUUUGUAAUUACAAACUAAUUUUAUUUUAUUAAGAAUUAAUUUAAUUACUCAUUUAAAAUAAAAAUCAGUUAUACUUUUACCAAGAUGAUAAUAUUCAUAUUUUUCUAGUUAACAUAUAUAAAAUAGUACACUUUUUCAUAUAAAAAAAUAAUUUAUGAUUUAUUAUAAUGUUACUAUUCACAUUUUACUAAAUUGAUGGUACAUGAUAGUGAGAGAAGGGGGUGUCACACUCAGCUAAAGUUCUUUUCAAAAUAUUGCAUGGUGUUUAAUUUUAUGUGUCGGCGCGCGUGUGAAUGGAACCUGCAAAAGUCCAAAUUGGCGUUUCUCCAUUUUCCACAUAGGAUGGUGACGUUAAUAGACAAAGAUACAAUAUCUGUAGACAUUGCUUAAAAAUCGAUGUGAAGUAUUAGAAAUUACAGGGCACUGUACUGGGGGAGCGGCUGCCCCGCCAAAGGAGGAAGAAUGUAGCAAUUUCUUCUGUUAGCCAGGCCUUAGGAUUUAUGCAUGGGAUGCCUAAUAACAAACAGAGAAAAUAUACUUUUGGGGAAGGUAUCCAACAACAGACACCAUCAUUCAGAUGGUGGGAAGGUAUCCAACAGAUGCCAUCAUUCAGAUGGUAACAUAUAUAUACAUUUAUUAGUGAGUUUUUUUAAUACCUAUAAAAAAAAAUAUACACUUUGAUAUUGUGGCUGAAUCCAUUACAUACUCAACUAACCUUGCUCAUUAGGGAUUUGACUUAACAAGGGCAACGUUGCAGUACAAGCUCAAAACUUUAUGCAGGUGACAUUACAUUUGGUAAAGAAGAGGAAAAUAACGAAAGCCAUCCAUAAAAGCAAAAUUCCACAUGGGAUGAAAUUCACAAGCUUCAUUUACGAUAGAGUCGCAUCCAGGCAAUUAAUUCCACAUUAGACCGCCUGUUGACAUGUGUACCAAUCUUUUUUCAAAAAAUAUUUAUAAAUAAUUGAUACUCACAAAAAUAAUUUAAUAUUUAUAAAGGAUAAAAAAAUAUUUUCAAAUCUAUAACAAUUUAUAAAAUAUUAAUAAAAAAUUAUCUCUUAAACUUAGUAUAGUUUUAUCAGAUUAAACUUUUAUUUUGAACAAAUAAUUUUAAUCUAAGUUUUAAAUUCUAAAAUUAUUUCCUUAAAAUAAAAUUUUAAAAUUCAACACUUCAAUUGAAAUUGUCUUUUUAAAAAAUAUCUUCUUAUUUUAAUCCUUAUAAACUAUAGUUGAUUGAAAAUACUAUUGAAGUUCUCUCUUAAAAAAAAGUCUUAUUUUAAUCUUCAUAAAUUGCCCUUGAUUUGAAAAUAAAUUUUCAGUUAUCAUAUUUUAAAUAAUAUCUAUAUUUAAAAUACUCUAUUUAAAAAAAAAUGAACUAAUUUUAAUUAUAUUAUAUUUUAUUUUUUUAUAUAUUUUUAAUGAUAAACCAAACAUAGAAAAUCAUUUUUCUAAAUAUUUUAAAAUUUCUAAGCAACCAAACAUAAUCUUCAAAAUAAAAGGAAAAUAAGGAGGGACAUUUGAGAAAUGGCGAUUAAAAAAAAGUGUACAAAAGCUCAAUUAAUUUUCUUCUAGUCUUUUAUAUAAAAAAGUAAAGGAAUUGAAAAGUAUUGAUAUGUAAAUUAAUAUUUGGAUUUUAAUAGUAUUUUAUUUGUCUUUCUCUAUCUCAUGUAAAAGAGAAUUUAAGAUAUUUCCUAAAGCAAAGCAUUAGUUAUCUGCAAUCAGUGGUGAUCAUGCCCCAUGUCAAUUUCGGACCCAUAUCUUAAAACUGUAUAAUUUGCAUUCAAACAUUACUGAUUUCUCAGAUGUUUCAUACUCCACAGAAGAGCAUUGUUUGUGAAAGCAUGCAUUUAUGUUGGAUUUUGGAUGAUGUGGGAACUGGGGCAAGGAUCAUAUGGAAGAGUGGUCGAUUUUGUUCUGUACUUUAACAUUUGAAAUAGGAGAAGCUCGGGCAUUUGUGGGGCUUAAUUGAUUUUGAAGCCUGAAAUUGCGUUUCUGUCAUUUUGUAAAAAAUAUGGCAGAUUCCAUGCUCUCAUAUGUUUGGUCUGUGGCCAUGUAUAGAUGCCCCUUAGUGACCAGUUUGUAACUGUCAAUCAUAGUGUUUUGACUCUGGCUCAACAACAUCAGCCAUUGACGGAUUUUCAUACUUGCAAAUCAAAUAGUCUUCUUCCUCCCUUAGGAAUUUCGGUUUAAAUGUUAUUAAGCAUACAUUUGGCUGACAAUUAUUAACCACUUCAUGAUAUGGUUUCUUACCCUUAAUCAAUGGUUUCUAAGUGAAUAUAUGCAGAAGGAAAUCUGAACUGUAGACAGCAGUAUUGAUAACUCUCAAUAUUCUUUAUAUAAGAGAAUAAACAACGUCAUAGUGAUCGUCGCCUACAAGAAAGGUACAUUUCCCAACAAGAUGUAGUUGUGACUGGUACAUGGACGCAAUUAACUCGUACAAAAGAAUAAGACCAGUGCACGGCAGCUCUUAUUUUACAUGCUAAUUAUGCUAACCAAAGUCACUCAGUUGGGAUGGGAGGGAGAUGGAGGUUUGUGCGGUGGCUUGUGGGGCGGAGUUGGUGGCUUCUUUUCAGGAGCUUGUGGCUUUUUCGGAGCUGAAGGAGGCUCAAUCUUAUGAGGCGGCUUGUACGAGUCUUCUUUACUCUCGACAGGAGGGUGGCCAGGGUUGUGACCAUAAUGUGGUGGCUUCUCUCCCUUAGGUGGCUUGCCAACUGGGGUUGGUGGCUUGUGUUCAGGAAGUGGUUUCUCUCCCUUGGGAGGUUUACCAAUUGGGGUUGGUGGCUUGUGUUCUGGGAGUGGUUUCUCUCCCUUGGGAGGUUUAGUGGGUGACUUGUGUUCUGGAGGUGGCUUCUCCACCGGAGGCUUGUGCUCCGGUGGUGGCUUCUCCACCGGAGGCUUGUGCUCCGGUGGUGGCUUCUUGAUUGGAGGGGGCUUGGGGUAAUCAGCAAGAGAUGGGAUGGUGAGAACCACCACUCCAAGGAACAACACUAGCAAGUAUGUGGGAGACAUUUCUGAGUUUGAGCUGAUCAGAUGAUGCAAAACUAGAAGAAUUACGGGACCUUUUAUAGCAAGUAUCUCCCAAUACCCACAUGACACGUGUUACUAUGACCAUAAAUAUUAUAGGGUCCAUUUGUGCCCUACCGGGUUGAAAACUUGGACGCUUGGCCGAGGACACACCUGACUAUGGAGGACUAUUGACGUGUGAUCACAGCUUUUGGAUUUUUCUUCCUGUGCAGCUGUCUAGCGGUUGGCAUUAUUUUCUUAAUCUUAAAUAAAGGCAUAGUUAUAGAGUUGUUUAAUCUCUAAAUGGGAUUUUAUAUAUCUUCAGAUAGCCAUUAAUAUAUUUGAUGAAGAAAGACAAGUGCAUACAACAUGUAUACGGCUUGCUUCAAUCGAGUACAUUUAUGAUCAGUUUUCCUGUGCAAGUAAACCAGUUUUUUGUUCCACAACUAUUUUGGAAUCUUGUUUAUCAGUUUCUAUCAUUAUAAUGUCACAUAGGCUGCAAACUUGGGCACCCAAAGAUCUAGGUGGGCAAAUUUGUUUCAGACUUUCAAUGGUGGAUUCAGUAAUUGUUAAAAGGUGUUUCUUCAUUAAGGAAAGAGUCCGGUAAAAAUAUUGUUAAAAGGUGUCAUAGAAACUAUAAUAAAUAAAUAACUUCUUUUCCCCAUGGGUGGUGUUUCUUCUGGGGAUCAGUGACUGGUUAGGGUCACCCAAAAUGAGUCCAGAUUAAAAUUGGUUCGAGUCAAAGCAGUCUCUUUUGUCCAGAAAUCAACUAUUUUGCGCAUUGAAUGAAUCGAUAAAGAAAAAAUGAAAGCCAAAUCACACCUCCCCUGCAAAACCUAAACCCCGGUUGCUAACUUUCUAUGUUUCAGUCCUAUUCAUAUAGGAAUAUUGGUUCAAGUUUGAGAAAAAUGGCAACUUACCUAGGGUUUACUUGGUUUUGGUUUGCGACUAUUUACGCAACCAACCAUGAGUUUGACUUUAACGUCAUGGGUUGAAGCCUCCUACAAUCAUGUAUGAUAGUUCAAAGCUCGUGGAAGAAAUUAUACAGGAAGGAAGAAACCUCCAAAGCUAGCUCCAAAAGAGAAUUAUCACAUCGAUAGCUCCAGAGAUUCCCAAGGGAACUGAAUCAAAGACAAGUUCCUCACUUUUUCUUCUUUUGAGGCCAAAUAUGAACCAAGGAUCACACGACCUCAUUCAACUUCAUAAGUUUGAUUUCAUGCAGUUGAACACUGGGUGAAGGCCAUGACAAGAAUUGAUUAAAAAAUUCUACCACUCUUUUAAGUAAUGGAAGAUUAUUAUCUCUGAUUGGCACCACAACAGCACAUGCUGCUAGAUCUUUCUAGACACUCCAUGCAAUGAAAGCACAAUGGAUCUUGUAAUGAUAGAAACUAAGCCAUGCUACAGUACUAGAUGAGGGGGUAAAACUAGUAGACAUCUUUCUAGACACUCCAUGCAAUGAAAGCACAAUGGAUCUUGUAAUGAUAGAAACUAAGCCAUGCUACAGUACUAGAUGAGGUGGUAAAACUAGUAGACAUGGCUGGCAGUUGAUUACUACUCAAAAAGUACUCUUUUAUAGCUUGAAACUAACUGUUUUAAACACUUUUGAGUAGUAGUUAAUACCUUUUAACUUAAUUGGCACAUUAAGGAACCUAGCAAGGGUUACUAAUCAACAUUUGGCAAGUUUUGAUGUUUUUGGUAGCUAUUUGAUCAUUGAAACAAGCCAAGAAUGAGGGGGAAUUUUGUGAAGUCCAUGGCAAUGCAAGUUAAAGCUCAAAUACAUGAAGAAUCCAAGCUUUGGAGCACUUCAUAGCCCUUUGCCAAGCCAAUCAAAGAUGCAAGGAAGAAAACCAAAGGAAGAAAUCCAACAAUCAGCAUUUUGGCAUGGCUAUGUGAAAUUUCGCACACCAUGCGAAACCACAAGAGGCAGCCAAAGAAUUUCGCAUGGUAUGCGAAAUCUUCUUGUGCACUGACUCUGUUAGAUUUUUAUCUUCAGAUAUUUUGUGUAAUUUCCUAGUUUCUCCUUGUAACCAACUUAGAUAUUUUCUUUUAUAUCUUUUUUUAUAUUUUUUAGGUAACAUCAUAUAUAAGAGGAGAGACAUAAGGAGGAUAUGGAUGUUUUUCAUAGAACACUUGUAAAUUUUUGGUAGUAAGAAAUAUACAAAGCUUUUUGCUCUGCCUUACCUUCUCAAGGGAUGAGUGGCUAGGUUUUCUUGGAGUGAGGGAAGCUAGGUGAAGGACCUGAAUGCAAAGGUGGGAGUUUUCCUUACUUUAAAUGAAAGUAGUUGUUAAACAUUAAUGGUUUUUAUUUUAAGGUUUAGCUUUAAAUCCCUGAAAAACACCUUGAAUGGCCAAUACUUGGUAAGCUUUUUAGAUUCUAUGGAUGCUUAUUGCUAGAUCCAUGGAUGUCUAUUAGUUAUCAUUUACGAGCCAUUGGAAGGUGAUUCAAGGUGAGGGUCUUUAGUGUUUGAAGCCAUUAAUGGGAAGCAAUUACCAUUUUUUCAUGAAUCCUUUGGAUCAAAUCUUAAUUGCUAAAUAUAAAACCGGUUUCGAGAGAUAACCACCAUCCUUUAUGUUAUUAUCCCCAACGCGAGGAGAAGAUCCGAAAUCUUCCUUUUUAUCUAAGGAACCCGAUCCUAGUGACCUAAAGCUCCAAGAUACCUUUUCUUUGUAGUUAACUUCAUUUAUUGUUUUUGCUUAACUUAAAAUCAAUCUUUGCAACCACAAUUCCAUUUUCUUUAAAAGCUAAUUUUUAUAAGGAAAAACACCAUUUUAUUUCCUUCACUAAGUCAACUGUACGAUGAAAACCCAUCCCUGUGGACGAUCCUAGAGCCACUAUACUAUGUUAGCUAUGCUACCCUAGUGUGAGGUGAUUUAGGUUUUAUAAAUUUUUUUGAUAACACCCAUCUGAGCCAGAAUCAAAUGGCACGACUGAACCAGGGACGAAUCAAAUGACGCCGCUACCAAGGAUGGUGCCAAAGUACAUUGACAUGACUUUUGGUGAACACUUGUGAUCUUCACCACAAGUUUGGUGAUUUUUCUUUUACUAAUUUUUUUUAUUUUAGCUUAUCUUUUAUUUAGUUUUUAGUUAACCUUAAAUUUUUCCUAGAAUUGUAUUUCUUUUGUUUUCUUUGUUUUUGUUUCAGUGAUCUUUAGUUGUGCAUGCCCUAUUGGAUAAGAGAUAUUGAGGGAAUACUUGUGAAGAUUGAAACUCCUCGAGAAACUGAGUUAGAAGUGUGCUUGAACAUCAUGGAUGUUCCACCUGAAGACCAGAAUAGCCAACAUGGUUAAGAGGAUAAUUUCAACACAUACCGAUCCAUGAGGAACCGCAUACAUCCACCUUGUAUGAGUGCACCGUCAGGCAUAAUGCCUCCCACUGAGCAGCUAGUAAUCUGACCUCACAUUGUGCCACUCCUACCUACUUUCCAUGGGAUGGAGAGUGAGAAUCCCUACUCGCAUAUUAAGGAAUUCGAGGAGGUUUGUAAUACAUUCCAAGAAGGAGGAGCUUCAAUUGACUUGAUGAGGCUCAAGCUAUUUCCUUUCACUUUGAAGGAUAAGGCCAAGAUUUGGCUUAAUUCUUUAAGGCCAAGAAGUAUCCAAACUUGGAUUGAUUUGUAAGCCGAGUUUCUUAAGAAGUUCUUCCCUACCCAUAGGACCAAUGGUUUGAAAAGGCAAAAUUUGAACUUCUCAGUUAAAGAGAAUGAGAAAUUCUAUGAGUGUUGGGAGAGCUACAUGGAAGCUAUUAACGUUUGUCCUCACCAUGGCUUUGACACAUGGCUCUUAGUGAGCUAUUUUUACAAUGGUAUGUCUUCUUCAAUGAAGCAACUCCUAGAAACUAUGUGUGGAGGAGACUUCAUGAGUAAGAAUCCGGAGGAAGCCAUGGACUUUUUGAGUUAUGUGGCUGAAGUUUCAAGAGGAUGGGAUGAACCAAAUGCUAGAGAGGUGGGAAGAAUGAAGUCUCAACCUAAUGCUAAGGGUGAGAUGUAUGUUUUGAAUGAAGACAUUGACAUGAAAGCAAAGGUUGCAGCUAUGGCAAGGAGAUUGGAAGAGCUAGAAAUGAAGAACAUACAAAAAGUGCAAGCCAUUUCUGAGACAUCAAUGAAAGCUAUGCCUUGUUCCAUUUGUCAAUCUUAUAAGCACCUAGUGGAGGAGUGUCCUACAAUUCCAGCAGUGAGAGAGAUGUUUGGUGAUCAAGCAAAUGUUAUUGAUCAAUUCAAGCCUAAUAACAAUGCUUCAUAUGGCAACACCUACAAUUCAAAUUGGAGGAACCAUUCAAAUUUCUCUUGGAAACGAAAGCCACCUCAAUACACACAACCUACUCAAGCACCUUAGCAAUCCUCGAAUCUUGAACAAGCUAUUGUGAACCUUAGCAAGGUUGUGGGAGACUUUGUGGGAGAUCAGAAGUCCAUCAAUGCUCAACUGAAUCGGAGAAUUGACAGUGUGGAGAGUACAUUGAACAAAAGGAUGGAUGAGAUGUAAAAUGAUCUGUCUCAAAAGAUAGACAAUGUCCAAUACGUAAUCUCAAGGCUUACCAACCUCAACACAGUGUAAGAGAAAGGAAAGUUUCCUUCUCAACCUCAUCAAAAUCCUAAGGGUAUCCAUGAAGUAGAGGCUCAAGAGGGAGAAUCUUCAAAGGUGAGGGAAGUCAAAGUAGUUAUCACCUUGAAGAGUGGUAAAGAGGUUGAUCAACCCACAUCCAAGCCAAAGCAUAAUGAAGAGAGUGUAGCAGAAAAAGAAAAGAGAGGAAAAUAAAGGAAUUAGAAUAGAGAAAAAUACAAAGAAAGAUGACCAUGAGUCUAGUGUGGAUGAAGAGCCCGAGAGGAUGGUGAUCAAGGAAGAUAUGAUGAAGAAACACAUGCCUCCACCUUUCCCCUAAGCUUUGCAUGACAAAAAAAGAACCAAUAAUACAUCAGAAAAUUUUGAAGUAUUGAGGCAAGUGAAGGUCAAUAUCCCUUUGCUAGACAUGAUCAAACAAGUGUCGACAUAUGAAAAAUUCUUGAAGGACUUGUGCACUGUAAAGAGAGGGUUGAAUGUGAACAAGAAAGCUUUAUUGACCGAGCAAGUGAGUUCCAUCAUACAGUGCAAGUCCUAGUGAAGUACAAAGAUCCGGGUUGCCGUACCAUCUCAGUGAGUAUUGGAAGGACUUGUGUGGAGAAAGCUUUGUUGGACUUGGGAGCAAGUGUGAAUUUGCUAUCCUACUCUGUCUAUAAGCAGUUGGGAUUUGGAGAGUUGAAGCCAAUAUCCAUCACUCUAUCUCUAGCGGAUAGAUCAAUGAAGAUUCCAAGAGGGAUGAUCGAAGAUGUCCUGGUUCAAGUUAACAAAUUCUACUAUCCAGUAGAUUUUGUUGUUCUUGAUAUGGAUCCGGUUGUCAAAUGAACUAAUUAUGUUCCUAUCAUACUUGGAAGACCCUUCCUAGCUACAUCAAAUGCAAUCAUCAAUUGUAGGAAUGGAGUCAUGCAACUCACAUUUGUCAACAUGACAUUAGAGCUCAACAUCUUCCAUUUGUACAAGAAGCAUAUCCAUCAGGAGGAAAAAGAAGGUCUAGAGGAAGUGUGAAUGAUUGACACUUUAGUGGAAGAGCAUUGUGAUCGAGAAUGCAAAAAGAUUUAGUUGAGAAUUUUGGGGAUCUUGAUGAAAGGUUACUUGAACCCUCAGAUUUGCUUGCUACCCUACUCCAUUGGAAGAGAAGAGAAGAAAUUCUACCCUUAUUCAAUGAGGAGGAGACGCAAAGAGCUGCAAAGGAGAAACCCCCAAAACUUAUUCUUAAGCCACUACCCACAGAGUUGAAGUAUGUAUACUUGGAAGAAGACAAGAAGUGCCCUAUUGUUAUAUCUUCAACUCUUACCAUUCAUCAGGAGGAUUGUCUACUUGAAGUCCUUAGAAGAUGUAAGAAGACAAUAAGGUGGCUAAUUUCUUAUUUGAAAGGGAUCAGCCCUUUAGUCUGCACCCAUCAUAUUUACAUGGAGGAUGAAGCUAAGCUAAUUCAUCAACCUCAGAGAAGGUUGAACCCUCACAUGCAAGAGGUGGUUCGAGCUGAAGUUCUGAAGCUACUUCAGACCAGUAUUAUUUACCCCAUAUCAAAUAGCCCAUGGGUGAGUCCUACUCAAGUUGCGCCAAAGAAGUCUGGGAUCAUGGUGGUGCAAAAUGAUAAGGGAGAAGAUGUCUCUACACGCCUCACUACAGGUUGGAGGGUGUGUAUCAAUUACAGGAGGUUGAAUGCAGUGAUAAGAAAGGACCAUUUCUCAUUGCCCUUUAUUGAUCAGGUGCUUGAGAGGGUCUCUGGGCUUUUUUUUUUAUUGUUUCUUGGAUGGCUACUCCGGGUACUUUCAGAUAGAAAUUGAUGUUGAAAACCAAGAUAAGACCAUUUUCACAUGCCCAUUUGGAACCUAUGCAUAAAGGAGAAUGCCUUUCGGCUUAUGCAAUGCACCCGCAACUUUCCAAAGAUGCAUGUUAAGCAUUUUCAGUGAUAUGGUGGAGCGUAUUAUGGAAGUCUUUAUGGAUGAUAUCACCAUUUAUGGAAGUGCAUUUGAUGAAUGCUUGGUCAACUUAGAAGCUGUUCUGAACCGAUACAUUGAGAAAGACUUAGUGCUUAACUGGGAGAAGUGCCAUUUCAUGGUACACCAAGGGAUUGUCCUUGGGCACAUUAUCUCCAAGCAAGGCAUUGAAGUUGACAAAGCAAAGGUUGAACUCAUUGUUAAGUUGCCAUCCUCAACAAAUGUCAAAGGAGUAAGGCAAUUCUUUGGCCAUGUCGGGUUCUAUAGGAGGUUUAUCAAGGAUUUCUCUAAGCUUGCAAGGCCUCUUUGUGAAAUAUUGGUGAAUGAUGUUAAAUUCAUAUGGGAUGAUGGAUUUGAAAGGAGUUUUGAAGAAUUGAAGCUAUUUUUGACAACCGUACCAAUAGUGAGGGCUCCCAACUGGCAACUGCCCUUUGAAGUAAUGUGUGAUGUCAAUGAUUUUGCUAUAGGAUUUUUUCUUGGGCAAAGAGAAAAUGGAAAACCUUAUGUGAUCUACUAUGCGAGGAAGGCAUUGAAUGAGGCACAAAGAAACUACACAACCACCGAGAAAGAAUUGUUAGCUGUAGUUUUUGCCUUGGAUAAGUUUCGCGCUUACUUGGUGGGGUCCUUCAUCAUGGUUUUUACUGAUCACUUUGCUUUGAAGUAUCUGUUGACUAAGCAAGAUGCUAAAGCAAGGCUGAUUAGAUGGAUUCUCUUACUUCAAGAGUUCAAUCUCCAUAUCAAAGAUAAGAAAGGAGUGGAGAAUGUGGUAGCAGACCACAUUUCAAGGCUAGCUAUCGCACAUAAUUCCCAUGCUUUGCCCAUUAAUGACGAUUUUCUAGAGGGGUCUCUCAUGUUGGUGGAAGUUGUCCCUUGGUACGCUCACAUUGCUAACUACCUGGUCACGGGAAAAGUUCCAAGUGAGUGGAAAGCACAAGAUAAGAAGCACUUCUUUGCAAAAAUUCAUGCCUACUAUUGGGAAGAGCCAUUUCUAUUCAAGUAUUGUAUGGAUCAGAUAAUAAGGAAGUGCGUUCCUGAAGAAGAGCAACAGGGGAUCCUUAGUCAUUACCAUGAAAAUGCAUGUGGAGGCCACUUUGCUUAUCAAAAGACAGCCAUGAGGGUGUUGCAAUCGGGUUUCUGUUGGCCAUCACUUUUCAAAGAUGCCCACACCAUGUGCAAGAGUUGUGAUCGAUGCCAGAGGCUUGGGAAGUUGACACGCAGGAACAUGAUGCCUUUGAACCCCACUUUAAUAGUUGAUAUUUUUUAUGUUUGGGGCACUAACUUCAUGGGACCUUUCCCUAUGUCUUUUGGCUACUCUUACAUCUUGGUAGGAGUAGAUUAUGUUUCUAAGUGGGUUGAGGCAGUCCCAUGCAAACACAAUGACCAUAGAGUGGUUCUCAAGUUUCUUAAAGAGAAUAUCUUCUCAAGAUUUGGGGUGCCCAAAGCCAUAAUUAGUGAUGGGGGUACUCAUUUUUGCAACAAGCCUUUUGAAACUCUCCUAGCCAAGUAUGGGGUGAAGCAUAAGGUAGCUACACCUUACCACCCUCAAACUCAUGGACAAGUUGAGUUAGCAAACAGGGAGAUUAAAAACAUAUUGAUGAAGGUGGUGAACACAAACAGAAAAGAUUGGUCAGUCAAGCUUCUUAAUUCACUAUGGGCAUAUAGAACAACUUACAAGACCAUUCUCGGGAUGUCUCCUUAUCGCCUAGUUUAUGGCAAAGCAUGCCAUCUCCCUGUGGAAUUGGAAUACAAAGCUUGGUGGGCAAUCAAGAAGCUCAACAUGGAUUUGAGCAGAGCUGGGUUGAAGAGGUUCUUAGACCUUAAUGAGAUGGAGAAAUUGAGAAAUGAUGCCUACAUCAAUUCAAAAAUUGCAAAAGAAAAAUUGAAGAGGUGGCAUGAUCAGUUGAUUUCCCGCAAGGAUUUUCAAAAUGGACAAAGAGUCUUACUUUAUGACUCUAAACUCCACAUCUUUCCGGGCAAGCUGAAAUCAAGGUGGAUAGGUCAUUUUACCAUUCACCAAGUGCAUUCAAAUGGAGUAGUGGAACUACUCAACUCCAACAAUAUCGAGAACUUCAAAGUGAAUGGCCACCGUCUCAAGCCCUUUGUGGAGUCUUUUUCUCACAACAAGGAGAAAUUCAUCCUCCUUGAUCCACAUCAAGCUUAACAAGACCAAUUUUCUUGAUGGACUUAGUCUUUCUAAAGACUAUCGAGUCCAUAACUUUUUGUUUUAUUUUUUAUUUGAGAUUUUUUCGGUAUUGUUACUUGUUUUGUUUUUUAUUUUUCGUUUUAAUUUUAUUUGGUUUGAUUUAACUUAGGUUUUUGAUGAUCAAUUACAGGGGGGAUUUCAAAUAGAGGAAAAACCAAGAUAAUUCGCACACCCUACGAAAAUUUCGCAAGGCAUGCGAAAUUUAUGGCUUAUUUUGCAUGGGGUGAAAAUUUUCGUACAUCUUACGAACCAAUUUCGAACACUUUGCGAAAAUAAACCAACCCUGCGAAAUCAUUUCGAUUACUCUACGAAAUUUUCGUAGAGCAUGCGAAAAAUUUAGCACACCAAACACCAUUUCGCAUACUAUGCAAAAACCUAAGGGGUCUGCGAAACCAUUUCGCACCUCCAAAUCCAUUUCGCACAUUGUGCGAAAACCAAGAGGCGCUGUGCGAAAAUGAAAAGUCGCCCUGUCAUCCCUUUUUAAACCCCUCGAGCCCUAAAAUCUCCAUUUCGCAAGCACCCCUGUCCUUGCGAAUCCCUCAUUUUCCUCUACUACCUUGCAACCUCGUCCCUUUCCAUUUGAUAUUGUGCCCCGCGCACAUCUCAUUUCAGAGACUCGCACUCCGCGCCCCCUCAAAGCAUGGACUCGAGACCCACCUUCCAUUUCCGACGUGGCACGGACCCAAGGAGCCCUUUCUGCCCCUUCACUAAGACACACACCAAGGCAGAAAGCCUCCUUUGCUCAAGUGCCUAGUGAUUCUCCAUCUUAGGCCUCAGAGGCCUCGGAGGCCCCGUGGAUUCCACCUUCCGAGGGUAGAGCAGCCAUUGGUCCUUCCUCUUCUACUCCUUAGCGUAGAUACGAGACGAGGAGACCACCUACUACACAAGGGGCGACUACUUCGAGCCUUGAGAAUUCAGUACGAUGCCUUCCUGCCAAGAGGGUCAAGACUUCAGGUCCAAGUGAGUCAUCCAGAGCUUCAUAGCCUAAGCCUCCUGUAGAUUCCAAGGUUCCUACUGACAUAUCACCGGAGUCUAUUAUCAGAAGCCCGAUGCUCAUAGCACCGCCCAUUGAGGGCAACUCAGAUUAUAGAGCGAGAUCUUUCCACUUGGAGCUAUAUUUUGAUCAGGAGGCCAUACGACAGCAGCCUGAGCUCCGAGACUCUUAUGGCUUACUGCAGAGGUACCAUCUUGAGGAACUUAUGACUCCUCGUGAGUUUUUUUAUCCCAGAGUAGCACUAAACUUUUACCAGUCCAUGACUACUCGUGGCGUCCCGAGUCCUACCACGAUUCACUUCACCAUUGAUAGACGUCAUGGUAUCCUCAAGGCCAGACAUAUUACAGAGGCUCUACAAAUUCCUUUCGAGCUAGAGGAUCCAUCUGUUUUUCGCUAAUGGUCCCCAGUAUCUCAGAGGGACAUGGUCCGUAUUUUAUCUAGGGGAACAUCUACAGAUUCGAUCUUUCUACGGAAGGAGCUUCGACCUGGGAUGCUCCUCUUAGAUGUGGUGCUAUGCUCCAACCUCUUUCCCUUACAACAUUCGGUACAUAGGUGAUGAGCUAUUUUGGACGCUUUAUUCCGUAUAUCAGAGGGCUUCUACUUUGGCCCGCACCACUUGAUCAUGGUCUCCCUCAUCCACUUUGAGGAGAAGGUUCAUAGGAAGAAGCUUCAGAGGGUGGACACCAUUCCAUUACUAUUCCUGAGGUUACUUUGCCAGGUCUUGGAGUACAUGGGCUUUCCUACUGAGCCUCGGCUCGAGCUUUGCCGCCUUUGUCGAGAGUGAUCCACUCUCGACAAAUGGAAUUAGUUGGCGGGCUAUUCUGCACCUCCAGGAGCCCCUCCCAUGGUAGCACCUCCAAUGUCCCCACAGGCAAAGUAGGGCGAGCUCCCGGCAAAGACUGUACCACCAAUGCCCACACUUGAGGCUAUUUCUGCUGCUCUGCCUAUGACUCCUACUGUUCCACCAGUUGGUCCUUUUACAUCCGAGCCUUCCAUCACCAUCUCGGCUUCGGAGUUUCGCGCCCUUGUGCAUACCUUUCAGACACUCACCACCACACAUACUCCUCUCUUCUAGCAAAUGGUUGAGAUGUGUGCCCAUCAGGACCGGAAGACUACUAUACUCUGCCAAAUUCAGCAGCACCUAAGACUUUUGCCUCAACCUCAACCUAACCAUCCCAUAUCAUCAGAGCCUCUAGCUCCAACUGAGGAUACUAUUCCACCUGAGAACACUACCACAGUAGAGGUCCGGUUUCCACCACCUUAAGAGGCCACCACAGCUACAUCAGAGGAUGUGUCAUCUCCACUUGAGGCUCCCACUACUUGAUCAUAGGACAUAUCUUUAUCUUAUUGUAUUUACAUAUUAUAUUACUAGAGAUUUGUCCUUGUUUUGAUACUUUAUAUUCUGGGAUUGGAUGUAUUGCCUGAUGAUAUCUCAAUUGUACUUUCUCAUAUUAAUAUAUAGACAUCAAUUUUUUUUAGUAUACUUAGCAUUUUUCUAUUUCCUCUACUCAUUACUCUUUUGUUUUUUUUUACUCAUGUGGUUUCUCUUAUACAACUCAGACUCCAUUUCACUCAGGAGGUACCACUUCCUCCCUUUAUUUUCAAUUGCUCUUGAAAUAUUGAGUGCAAUGUUGAUCUUGGUUGGGGGGAGAGUUGAGGAAGGAAGUUUUGUUAAUAAUGCUAGGUUAAUUUGUUAAUUUAGUUACUUUCUGCUUAAUUUUAAAAGUUUUCACUCUACUUUCCAUGGUUAUUAAGGAAAAAUUCUCAAAAUGAAAUGGGAGAAAUCGAAUUCUUGCAUUUUUACUUGAAUCUUAGAAUUUGUAUCAUGCUUAUUAAAGUUGAUGAAUUAUUGAAACUCCUAUUGAAUUCAACCUUAUUUUUUCCACUUUAAUCUUACCACACACGGUGCACAUUAGGUUCCAGUUAUAAGAUAAAAAACUAUCUCACCCCCUAAACUUAGAAAAAUUUACACUUGGUACCUUUGACAUCGUUUUAAUAGUGUUGGGACACCUUAUAAAAGGCCAAUGAGCCUUUAAAAAAAAAAAAAAAAAAAAAAAGAGAAAGAACAAAGUAUUGCACUUGCCUUGAAACCUGAGCAAGAUCCGAGGGGUAUACAGUGAAAGUCUUUAAAACCUGGUGCCCUAAGCCUUGAUUGGUUGGGAGUCACCGACCUCAAUGCUCGUUAUAAGGGUGAAUAGGUGGAGUUUAACAUAUUGUAGGUGCUUGGGUAUUGAAUUUCAAUCUCAAAAGUCCGGGAAAAAAUCUAAGGAGUUAGUGGUCAAAAGAUCCUUAAAGCUUGAUGCCCUAAACCUUGAUUGGUUGAGAGUCAUUGAUGGAUCCCCGCUACAUGGACAUUUUAGAAAACAAUACCUUUAGCAUUGCACGCCUACAAUGAAAAAAAAAUGUGAAAUAAAAGAGGUGCGUUCUUAGCCUAUUGGAGGUUGGUCAGUUUGCUAAAGUUUGAGAAAUCUAGGUUGGGGGGAGAGAAUAGUCCGACAUACUAUAAUAAAAAACUAAUAACCUUAACACUUAGAUUUUUGUGGAAGAGUAAGGAUUGGACCUUUAGGGGUGGAAAUUCUUUUGAUGCUUAAAUUUGCAUAAUGCCUACUCUUUAUAAAUUAUGAUUAGGCAAGAGAUUUGAUGACUCUUGUUCAAAGUUGGGUUUUUCCUCUUUGAUGUUCCAUGAGAGAGUAUAAUCCUCAUCAUGCCACUUGAAAUCUUUUUGGAGUGAUUAACAUGAUUUUGUAAAUUAUUUUACUGUCUAUUUUUCUUUAUCUCUCUUUUAUUGCUAAUGGACUAGCAAUAUGUCAGUUGGGGGGAGUGAUUACUACUCAAAAAGUACUCUUUUAUAGCUUGAAACUAACUGUUUUAAACACUUUUGAGUAGGUGUUAAUACAUUUUAACUCAAUUGGCACAUUAAGGAACCUAACAAGGGUUACUAAUAAGUUUUUGGCAAGUUUUGGUGUUUUUGGUAGCUAUUUGAUCAUUGAAACAAGCCAAGAAUGAGGGAGAAUUUUGUGAAGUCCAUAGCAAUGCAAGUUAAAGCUCAAAUACAUGAAGAAUCCAAGCUUUGAAGCACUUCAUAGCCCUUUGCGAAGCCAAUCAGAGAUGCAAGGAAGAAAACCAGAGGAAAAAAUCCAACAACCAGCAUUUUCGCAUGGCUGUGCGAAAUUUUGCACACCAUGCGAAACCACAAGAAGUAGCCAAAGAAUUUUGCACACCAUGCGAAAUUUCGCAUGGUAUACGAAAUCUUCCUAUGCACCAACUCCGUUAUAUUUUUAUCUUCAGAUAUUUUGUGUAAUUUCCUAGUUUCUCCUUGUAACCAACCUAGAUAUUUUCUUUUAUAUCUUUUUUUUAUAUUUUUUAGGUAACAUCAUAUAUAGGGGGAGAGACAUAAGGAGGAUAUGGAUGUUUUUCAUAAAACACUUUUAAUUUUCUGGUAGUAAGAAAUAUACAAAGUUUUUUGCUCUGCCUUACCUUCUCAUUUUGUUUUCACCUAUCUUUCUAGCCAAACAACCUCUGAGAAUGAUUUCUCAGGGGAUGAGUAGUUAGGUUUUACGUUUCUUGGAGUGAGAGAAGCUAGGUGAAAGACCCAAAUGCUAAGGUGGGAGUUGUCCUUGCUUUAAAUGAAAGUAGUUGUUAAAUAUUAAUGGUUUUUAUUUUAAGGUUUAGCUUUAAAUCCCUUAAAAACACCUUGAAUGGCCAAUACUUGGUAAGCUUUUCGGAUUCUAUGGAUGCUUAUUGCUAGAUCCAUGGAUGUCAUUAGUUAUCAUUUAUGAGCCAUUGGAAGGUGGUUCAAGAUGAGAGUCUUUAGUGUUUGAAGCCAUUAAUGGGAAACAAUUACCAUUUUUUCAUGAAUCCUUUGGAUAAAAUCUUAAUUGCUAAAUAUAAAACUGGUUCGGGAGAUAACCAUCCUUUAUGUUAUUAUGCCCAAUGCAAGGAGAAGAUUUCGAAUCUUCUCAUUUGUCUAAGGAACCCGAUCCUAGUGACCUAAAGCUCCUAGAGACCUUUUCUUUGUAGUUAACUUCAUUUAUUGUUUUUGCUUAACUUAAAAUCAAUCUUUGCAACCACAAUUCCAUUUUCUUUAAAAGCUAAUUUUUAUAAGGAAAAGCACCAUUUUAUUUCCUUCACUAAGUCAACUGUAUGAUGAAAACCCAUCCCUGUGGACGAUCUUAGAGCCACUAUACUAUGUUAUCUAUGCUAUCCUAGUGUGAGGUGAUUUAGGUUUUAUAAAUUUUGUUGAUAACACCCGUCUGAGCCAGAAUCAAAUGGAACCACUGAACCAGGGACAAAUCAACAGCCUAUAUGGGAGGGACACAAGUUUAAUUGAUUUGCAUUUCAGCGUUAUAGAUAAGUAUGUUUUGGAAGAUUUGUUCUGGAAAUACUGCACCAAGUACGAUUCUUUUUCUCUUGAGUGAGUCCAUUUGCAUGCCAAUUAACGAGUUGAAAAGUAGGAGCACCUACCUCGUGCUCAUGGAACCGAAUGUCAGUGAAGUGGGGCUCCUUUUAGCCUCUUGUGUUUCUGUUCCAACCAAGGCGGCGUAGGGAAAAACAACAAUAUGUCUGUGCUAAAUAUCAACGCAUGAUAGAUGUUUUUUUUUUUUUUUUUGGUAUGUCAAGGCUAACGAAUGAAAUGCAUUAGCUUGUUUUGUGACUAUAACUGCAAAUGUCCAAAUUGGAGUAUCUCCAUUUCUCACUUCGGAUGGUUAACUUUAUAAACAAGAUAUAGGAAACAUGUGAACAUCUUGAGGAACAAUUCAAAUUAUUCAUUAGAAGUCCUGGGUUAAGUUCCAAGAUUUAAAUCAGACCCUUCUAGCAGCUUCAAGGGUACUUAGCAACCUAUAACAUAUUAAUGAAGAUUUAGGAUUUAGACUCCGGAAUACAAAUAAAUAUGUAUCUCAUGCUUUGACUAGCUUCCCUACAUAUGCAUAAAAUGGAGAUGACCCAAAAAAAAUAGCAGAAUCUAGCUUCCCUACAUAUGCACAAAAUGGAGAUGACCCAAAAAAUAGCAUAAUCGCCUUAGUUUCUGUGGUUAAGGUGAUUCUCCGCUUAAUAUCCACAUUGACUCAUUAUGCAAAAUCAACUGAGCUAAUUUUAUUUAUUUAUUUAAUGUCAAAUAGGAACUCCUAAUUAACUGAUUACUGUCGAAAAGUGCUAUUUUGUAGACCUAAUUAUAAGGGUUUUAAGCACCUUUGAGUAGUAAUCAUAUUCAUUUAACCUAAUUAAUUCAUUAAGCUCCUUAGUAAUUAGUUCUAACCAUUUUUAGUGGCAAGUUUACAUGUUUUUCAUCAGCUUAUGAACCAAUUCAAGCAUGCCAAUUGAUGGAGGAGCUACUUGGGCGAGUUAAGCAAGGAUUUUGGACGUUUACAGGCUUGAAUUUCAAGUGGAAACACGAGCACAAGCAAUGGGAACACCAUUUCGCAAGGGGAGGCAAUUCACCUUGCCAAAUGACCAAUUUCGCAAGGGGAUUUUCCUCAUGGUGCAAAAUUUGGUCAUUUCGCACCAUGAAGAAACCACCUUGCAAAAUUUCGCAAGGUGGAUUUAGGCACCUUGCGAAAUGCCAAAUUUCACAAGGUGGCUUUUCACCUUGCGAAAUUUGGACCUUUCAUCUUCCCCCCUUGCGAAAUGCCUUUGAAAUCCCCUGUUUUGAGACGCUGUUGAUGAUAUUCCACUGCCGGUUCUCCAAGAUAUUUUGCUUGACUUUUAGCUUUAUAAAUACCUAUUUUACCCUUGUAAUCAACCAAUGAAAAGGUUGCUUUUGUAAUAGCUCUUGUAAUUUAGCUUUUUAUUGUCUUUAAAUAGAGGUGAAGAGCCUCAGACACGAUCAUCUUGUAACCUGUAACUUUAUAAGUUAUAAGAGCACUUUUGUUCAUACGCUUCUUUUCUCUUUUCUUUCUCAUUUUCUUAGUAGCCAAACAUCCUUGGAGGAUGAAAUCCCCAAGGAUGAGAGGCUAAAACCUUUUAGUUUCUUGAAGUAAUGGAUGCCAUGUGAAGCUCCCGUGUCAGGAUGGAGAUUUCCAAGCCAUAAAUGUAAGUAGCUGAGCGUCAUAAAUGUUUUCAUUCAAAGUAAAGCUUUUAAUCCCUCUGACUUGCUUUGAAUGGCCAAUACUUGAUAACCUUUUGGUCUCAAUGGAUUCUUAUUGUUAGAUCCACUGACGUUCAUUAGUUAUCUCCUACGAGCCAUUGUAUUGCAAGUCGAGGAGAUGACCUAUACCAAUAAAAGAGCAUUUAUGAGGUUCAACUACCCUUUUUGUAAGUUUUCAAGGACUAAAACUCAGUUGUUAAACUCAUACCGGUUCGAGAAGUAAGCAUCACCUUAGUUGCUUCCCCAACUCGAGGUGAAAAGUCCCAAAAUCUCCAUUUUUACACAGUGAGUUAAGCAUGGCUAUCCAAAGCUUUAAGAAACUUCUUUUUCCAUCUUUUAACCUAUUUUCAUGUUAGUUUAGUUUACAACACCUUCAUCUUUUUAUGUUUUCAUCUUAACCUAAUUUUUAUUAAGAAAAGUUCACUCCAUCCUCCGAACUUCACCAGUUAAAGUAAAAACCCUUCCCAGUGUUCGAUCCUAGAGCCACUAUGCUAUAGUAGCUUUGCUACUUUAGUGUAAGGACCUUAGGUAUAAAUUUUGUUGAUACCCUUACAUGCCAAGCUACCAAGAGUCGGGUUAUCAUUAACCUAACCAUUGGCCUGUGUAAAUUGAUUUCACAUGCACAAUGUUGUAGUAGAAGUCCAUAUUUUGAAUUUUAUUUUUGUAAAGGUAAGGAAAAUGAAGCAUUGUGUAAUUAUAAAAAUAACUUCAUUGGAAUUCACAAGGUUCACCCAAAAUGGAGCUACAUCUGUAUUCUAUCCUACAGUAGACUAUAUAGAUUGUACAAUAGUAAAUUGCAAAUACAAUUAAUAAGUCUUGUGCUUCCUUACUAAUAAUCCUUUGACAUGAACAUUGCAGCACUAAGGUCCUCUUGGGAAGACACCUUGCACCCAUGAGAGCACUAAGAGGAAGCAAGGCAGAGUCAUGGGUGCAAUGUCAUGACUUGUUGUUGCACCAAGAGAGGCUUGGUGAUGCCAUGGUGUUGCAGUAGCAAGAAUGUUGCCUUGGCAGGGACACGAUCUAGGGAUAGAUGCCAAGAAAGGCUUAGCACUCACAUGAGUUGCACAAAGAUGAAUGUAAUAGAGCAUCAGAGAGACGUCUUGGCAAGUAAAUGAAUGGAUCCAAGAGACAACAACAUGAGGAGUUUCAAAUGGAUAAGGAAUGACUCAAAGACAUUUGAAAGCUACAAGUUGGAUUCUAAUUACGAUUGCAAUUUGAGUUUGAGUAGGAGUUUAGAUUUUGAUUGUAAUUGUAGUAUGAGUUGGACUAGGAUUGCUUAUCCUUAGUCAAUAUAGGAGCGGUUCGUGUCACCCUAUGAAAAGAGUUUGAGUAGGGACUAGGAUUGCUUACUCCUAGUCAAAUAUGGAGUAGGUGGUGCCACACCUAUAAAAAAAAGGGACAACAUGAGAGAGAGAGAGAGAGAGAAAGAGAGAGUGAAUUCACUAAAGAUAUUGUGGGAGUUUUGCUUUGUUACGUCUUGUAUUAUUACUUAGAAUAGGAAUAAAAUACAAGUUGGGGCUAGAGCCCCAUAAUUAAUCUCGUGUGCCUUUGUGGUUAUUCUUUAUUUGUCAUCUCGUGUGGAUUGGAUUAGGUUGACUUAGAGGGCUUCUAAGCACCACCUUUGUGGGUUAUUAUUUAUUUUCCAUCUCUUGUGGAUUAGAUUAGGUUGACUUAGAGGGCUUCUGAGCACCACCUUUGUGGGUUAUUAUUUAUUUUCCAUCUAUUGUGGAUUAGAUUAGGUUGACUUAGAGGGCUUUUAAGCACCACAUUUGUGGGUUAUUCUUUAUUUUCCAUAUCGUGUGGGUUGGAUUAGGUUGACAAGGAGAAAAAUUAUGUGGGAAAUUUGUGUUGGGACACUUACCAUAACCAAGUAAAAUCUACCAAGUCCUUUGUAAUAUCUUCAACAAAUAUUUUAGACUAGUUCUUUCAGUUAGUGUAAAGGAGGAAGAAGUGGUAUUGAUUCUAGAAAUAGGGUGUGUGUAUUUGAACUACAAUCCUUAUGAUCCUUAGGUCUCUAAACCUUCGUGAUGGGCUCCCUGACAUUUCAUAGGUUGUGCUACACAUGCGUUUGAAAUUUAGAGUGCGUUUGACAGUGAUUCCGGGAAGUGUUUUUGGCCUUUCUUACACUUGAAAAUUUUUAUUUUUCAAGUAUUAGAAAUGCUACAAACACUUUUGAAAAUUACUGUCAAACACACUCUUAGGAGCGCACAUAUAUAGUAGAAAACUAGAAAUUGUGGUUUUUUUAGGAUUUACUGUAAUGUCAUUAGGAGGGUAGUAAGUUGAAAUUGAGUAUGAACAAAUAUUUCUUUCUUUGGGAUGUUCUUCUAGUAGGUGCUGAUGAAACUGUUCUUUCUACUGCCAAUGUCACAUAUCAGCCAGAAAUUGAAAAUUUCAGUCAAGGUGUCCUCUGUUUUAGUGGUGAGGAAAGCUAGAAAUUUUAAGGUGAAGUUUUGUUAAAAACCUUAAGUAGCUGGGAUAUCAGGCCUGUUUUGCUUGAAAAAAAAAGUUGCAAGAUAACUCAUAUGCCAAACAGGUUCUGAUAUUGUGAAUCUAUCGGCAGACAUCAGUAAUCUCAUCUUCUGAGAUGGAUGUUGGGGGUGCAUGUGGUGGUGGAGGGGCAAGGUUUCAUUUGGUUUAUUUUGUUGAUGGAUAUUGUCUAGCCACCUGCGCCAAGUUUGAGGGGUGGUGGGUUGUGAUGACCCUACAAUUACUAUUAAUUUCUUCAUCUUUUACCGAUUAAAGUGUCCGAACAGUCGAAGUUACCCUUAUGCAUGUCAACUUGAUCACUUACCUCUUCAAUGGAGUUUAUGCUGGUUCAUUUAGGAACUGAUUUUUAUUGUUAUGUAUUAUAUGCUGAUGUUUAGGUCUCUCCAUCAUCACUAUAUACAAAAAUUCUAGGUUGAUACUAUAGGUUGAGAUUUAUUUUUUAAAUAAAAAAUAAUAAAAAUAAAAAUUAUGGUGAUGUUUAGUUGUUUUAUGGAAAAUUUUAACAAGUAAAAGUUAUUUUUGGGCAAGUUUUCAAACAAAAAGAAAAGUAAAAGUUGUUUUGACAAAAACAUAUAGAAAAAAAAAUCAUAGAAAAUAAAUAAUUUCCCCAUAUUCUAACUUUUUUGAAUUUUUCUCAAUGGGCAAAGGAAUAUCAAAUCAAGUUUGAGUAGGAUUUCUUAAUUUUUAAAAUAACUUACAAUUAAAAAAUUUUGGUGUUUUCAUUUUUGGACAAUUUUUUAUUAAGCAAAUGGACUCUGAGUCAUGCAAGAGAUAUGGUUCAUUAACCGGUCGAACAAUUUUUUUAAAUUAAUUUAAAAGUCAAAUACAUAAUCAAUUUCACAAAAUUUAUAAACAAAAAUAGGUUUAGAGAAGAUCUACACAUAAUUUUACUUUUCUAAUUUUAUUUUAUUUUAUUUUUUGUUGGAAAAUAGUCUUCAAAUCAUGUAAGAUUUAAUAGGUUAAAUUUGUUAACAAUAAAUUUUAAAUUAUAAAAUAUAAUCUGGAACUCAAAAAUCAAUUCAAGUAAUGCUAAAAAAAAAUCAAAUUUGGUAUAGAAUGACUUUGUAAAUUUUUUUACAAAACAAAUGAAUUUUAAAUCAAGUGAGAUUUAAUGCAUUAGAUUUUUAUCAAAUAUAGUAAUUUUAAAAAUAAAUUUGGAACUCAACAAUAGACACAAUAAAUACCAAAAAAUAAUGAACCAAAAUUGGUUUGGAAUAACUCCACAACCUUUUUUUUUUUUUUUUGGUGCACACGAAUUUUCUUACUAGGUAUAUUGCUUUCAAAUUGAGAAAGAUUUACCAUUUAGAUUUUUUUUUAAUGAGUUUAAUGGUAUUUUAAAAUAAUUCAAAAUUUAAAAAAUUGACUAAUUAAUAUUAUAAAUUGAUAAACCAAGACUAUUUCAAAAUGCAUUGGGGGCUAAGGGGGUUGAAAAUAGGGACAAUGGGAUGGGUUUGGGACAUGACACUCAUAUCUCAUUUCCAUUCCAAUUACACAGUUAUCUCCCAUCCUUAUCCCAAACUUGUGUUGGAGCAAGUUGAUUUGUUCCCAUCUUUGUUGACGAAAUGACUAAUAACCUCAUCCCCUCCUUAUCUUAGAUGUACAUUUUGUCAAAUUUGAUCAGGUAUGAUUGAUCCAAGCCCUAACCCUAAUUGGUAAUGAGUGAAUACUACACCUAAUUGCAUUCUUCUUUCAUUGCAAAAUAAUGAGAUUAUAAUAAUCUAGCAAAUAAGAAAAAAUAGUAUGGAAGUUCAAAUUAACACCAUAACUAUCAAUAAUUUUAAGCUUAUAGAUGACUUAAAUGAUUAAAAACUAAUGCAAAAUCCUAAAAAAAAUAAAAAUCAUAUAAAGAAUUCACAAGAGAACAGAAUGAACAAAAACCAAAUAUGAACAUGGGUCAACAUUAGUUAUGGAUUUGGAUUCCUUUCAAGGCCAAUCUUUGAACCAAGACUUCAUCAAAUCAACUACUUCAAAGGCUUUUGUGUUCUUCUUGGGUUGUGCUCUCAAACAAAGACUUCGAGGUGAUGUUCUAGAUGAUUGAAUUACACAUAUUUAGGGUGGAGAGAUUGGAGAAGCUUGAAGAUGCCAACGAUGGGUACAAUUGAGUGGUCAAUAAGAACAAUGUAGCCUAUGACUAGUUUGAUGUCAUGGUACAAGAGUUUUAGGCAUUGAGGUUAAAGCAAGAGCAACAUGGAAUUGAUUUCGGAGUCUUUCAGUUAGUGUAAAGGAGGAAGAAGUGGUGUUGAUUCUAGAAAUAGGGUUUUAAGUGGUGCGUGAUUACUACUCAAAAAGUGCUAUUUGAUAGCCUUUAAUUAAUCCUUUUUAACACUUUUGAGUAGUAGUUUAGGCCUUUUAACUCAAUUGGCAUGUUAAGGAUCCUUUAAAGCAAUUUUGAUCACUUUGUGCAAGUUUUGGUGUUUUUGUUAGUAUUUUGAUCACCAAAGCAAGUCAAGAAUGAGGAGAACUAUGAGGAAUCAUGGGCAAAGCUUAGAAUUCAAUUGCCAAGAGUGAAUCCGGAUUGCAAGGAGAAAAAGCAAAGAGAAUCUGUCAUGAAGCCUAUUCUUGAUGACAGUCGUAGCAGCCACUUUUGGAGCACUUUCUGAAGUCCAAAUGAUGCAAGCUAUAUACCAUUUCAAAGAUCAGGAAGUCAACAAUCCAAUGCUUCAAACGGUGCGCGAUUCGGAGUUGAAACGAAGAAGUUGCAGCCAUUACAAGCCAGUCACUCUAAAGUGUUGCGGAAUCAGCCUUUUGUUGCGAGAAUUUCGCAGCACUUUUGUACAGUAAGGUGUUUCUCCUUCUGACGAUGCACGAACCAUGCCGCGAGAGGGAAGCUAGGAACUUCAAGAUGGAAGCCAACUUUGCAGCCUGGUGAAGAUAGCUUGGUCUUGCGAAAUAAUUUCGCAGCCCUCUUGGGUGUCUGCGAAAUUUCGCAGGCACCACUUUUUUCCUGCGAAAUGGCUCCGGAAGCCUCCCGAAGCUUGCUACCGACAUUGGGAGAUAUUUUCCAUUAGAUUUUUGUUGUCUAAAUUCCAAAAUACUCCUUGUAAACCACCAAUUACAUGAUUCCUUAGUUUUUAAGUUAGUAAAAAGACCAAAUAUCUAUGUAAUAAUUAGUUUUAUAUUAGUUUGCUAUAAAUACCUCUCGGGAGCAUGUUCUCAGAGAGGAGUUCCUUCUGUAACCAUUUUGGUAAGCAAGUAAAGUCUUUUCUUUCUACUGCCUUACCUUCUCACUUUGUAUUUUCAUUUUAUUUCUAAGUUAUGAAUUCUCUGAGGAGCUUUCCCCAGAGAAUGAGUAACUAAACCUCCAAUUCCUUGGAGCUAAGGUUGCCGGGGAAGGUUCCAAGUGCAAGAAUGCAAAGCUCUGUGGUUUUAGCUAGUAAUGAAGAGGAAGUGAAAUCCUUUAGUGAUUUCAAUGUUUUUAGUUAACUUAAAACACCUUGGAGUCACCUGGGCCAACACUUGGUAAGGCAAGUGAUUUCCAACCGUGGAAAUGCACUAGUUUACCCCUUGCGAGCCUCUGGUAGGUGACUUCAAGGUAGGAUUUUCUGGAAUUACCAACACUUGGUAAGCUUUUGGACUCCUAGGAGACAUCCAUUAGUUAUCUCUUGCGAGUUUGUGAAGGGGAAUCCAAGGUUAAAGAUCACCUUGAAUGGUAAGUGCUCGUGAGAGGCAUGAACCAUUGCAAGUUGUAUCAGUGAGAGAAUUAAAGUGAAAUCUAAUUGAAGGAGUCUCUGUACAUCACCGGUUAGAGAAUUGACUAUAAGUUGAAUCUCUAAUGCGAGGAAAUGAACCAUCUGACCGGAGCUAUGUCUUUUGCAUGAGGAACCACCCCAGUGAACCUAAAUCUCCAAGGAAUGCUUUUCUUCCUAAAUUAUUCCAAACUUCUGUUAAGUUAGUUAGUUUAAGUCUAAACCUUUACCAAUCAAACUUUGUGUUUUAUUUCUUAAGCUAACCGUGAAAUGAAACAAAACCAAUUCACUUGGAAUUGGUAUCCUUGAUUGCUUGCAAAUCAUUCCCAGUGAACGAUCCUUAGAGCCACUAUACUAUAGUAGCUUUGUAUUUGCUACCCUAGUGUAUGGUGUUAUAGGUAUAAAUUUUGUUGAUCACUUCCUCAAUCAAGGAACACCAGCUGAACACAAAUCAGCUGAGACACCAAUUGGGCAUGAGUCAAAUGGCGCCGUUGCCGGGGAAUGAGUGUCAAGAUCAUUGUGAUACCAUUUUUGAGCACUUGUGAUUUUCAUCACAAGUUGGUAAAGUUUCUUUCACUUUACUAAUUUUCAUUCUCUCUUUGUUUAUUUACAAUCUAAGUUUAUCUUUUUAAAAUUUAGUCUAGUUUAAUUUUGCUAUUGUAGCCUUGUUUCUCUUGUUGUCCUCUGUUCUUGUUGUCCUCUGUUUUCAUUUUAGUUGCAGCUGAAUACUAGUUGUGUAUGCCAAAGUGGAUACGAGACAUUGGAGGUAGGCUUAUUAAGUGUGAUACACCUCAGAGAGGAGAAUUGGAAGUAAUCUUGAAUAUCAUGGAGGCUGCACCUGAAGAUCAGCAUAGUCACCAAGGUCGUCAAGACAAUCUCAAUGAAUUCAGAUCAAUGAGGGACCGUAUGCAUCCACCUCGUAUGAGUGCACCAUCAUGUAUAGUGCCCCCUACAGAGCAACUAGUGAUCAGACCAUAUCUUGUUCCACUUCUACCAACUUUCCAUGGGAUGGAAAGUGAGAAUCCGUAUGCACACAUCAAGGAAUUUGAAGAUGUUUGUAAUACAUUCCAAGAGGGAGGAGCUUCAAUUGAUUUGAUGAGGCUUAAGUUAUUUCCUUUUAAUUUAAAGGAUAAGGCCAAAAUUUGGCUUAAUUCUUUAAGGCCAAGGAGUAUCCGCUCUUGGACUGAUUUACAAGCUGAAUUCCUCAAGAAAUUUUUUCCUACUCAUAGAACAAAUGGCUUGAAAAGGCAAAUUUCAAACUUCUCAGCUAAAGAGAAUGAGAAAUUCUAUGAGUGUUGGGAAAGAUACAUGGAAGCUAUAAAUGCUUGUCCUCACCAUGGCUUUGAUACUUGGCUACUGGUGAGUUAUUUUUAUGAUGGUAUGUCCUCCUCAAUGAAGCAACUCCUCGAGAAAAUGUGUGGAGAAGAUUUCAUGAGCAAAAAUCCAGAGGAAGCUAUGGAUUUCUUGAGCUAUGUAGCUGAUGUUUCAAGGGGAUGGGAUGAACCAACUAAAGGAGAAGUGGGAAAGAUGAAGUCUCAGUUGAAUGCUUACAAUGCAAAGGCUGGGAUGUAUACUUUAAAAGAGGAUGAUGACAUGAAAGCAAAGUUGGCAGCUAUGACAAGAAGAUUGGAGGAGCUGGAGCUGAAAAGAAUGCAUGAAGUGCAAGCUGUUGCUGAAGCACCAGUGCAAGUGAAGUUGUGUCCCAAUUGUCAAUCGUUUGAACAUUUGGUAGAGGAAUGCCCUGCAAUUUCAGCUGAAAGGGAAAUGUAUAGAGAUCAAGCAAAUGUUGUUGGACAAUUCAGGCCCAAUAACAAUGCUCCUUAUGGAAAUACCUACAAUUCAAGUUGGAGGAAUCAUCCAAAUUUUUCAUGGAAGGCCAGAGCAACUCAAUACCAACAGCCGGAUCCACCAUCUCAACAAUCUUCAAGUAUUGAACAAAUAAUAGCUAAUCUCAGCAAGGUAGUGGGAGAUUUUGUGGGAAAGCAAGAAGCCACCAAUGCUCGAGUGGAUCAAAGAAUGGACAGAGUGGAUCAAAGAAUGGACAGAAUGGAGAGUAUGUUGAACAAAAGAAUGGAUGGAAUGCAAAAUGAUAUGAAUCAAAAAUUUGAUAACAUCCAAUAUUCAAUUUCAAGGCUUACAAAUUUGAAUACACUGCAAGAAAAGGGAAGAUUUCCUUCUCAACCUAACCAAAAUCCCAAAGGUGUCCAUGAAGUGGAAAGCCAUGAGGGAGAAUCAUCACAGGUGAAAGAUGUGAAAGCUUUGAUCACUCUAAGGAGUGGUAAGAAAAUUGAGCAGCCAACACCCAAGCCACAUGUUGAGAAAGAAGAAGAGAUGAAGAAAGGGAAGGAAAUGGAAGAUAAAGGCAGUGAGAUCAGUGAAGAAAAGAAGGACUCUGAUGCAACAAUGAAAGUAAUUCCAGAGAAGGAGCUUCUGAAGGAAGAAAUGCUGAAGAAAUCAACUUUUCCACCUUUUCCUCAAGCAUUACAGGGGAAAAAGGGGGUUAGAAAUGCAGCUGAAAUCCUAGAAGUAUUGAGGCAAGUGAAAGUUAAUAUUCCACUGCUGGAUAUGAUCAAACAAGUUCCAACGUAUGCAAAAUUCCUAAAGGACUUGUGUACUAUCAAAAGAGGGUUGACUGUAAACAAGAAAGCCUUCUUGACUGAGCAAGUAAGUGCAAUCUUACAGUGUAAGUCUCCUUUGAAGUACAAAGACCCUGGAAGUCCUACCAUUUCAGUCAUGAUUGGAGGAAAGGUAGUGGAGAAAGCCUUGCUAGACUUGGGAGCAAGUGUGAAUUUGCUUCCAUAUUCUGUCUACAAGCAACUGGGACUUGGAGAGUUGAAGCCAACAGCAAUCACUUUGUCUCUGGCAGAUAGAUCAGUGAAAAUUCCAAGAGGGGUAAUUGAGGAUGUAUUGGUUCAAGUAGAUAAUUUCUACUAUCCUGUAGAUUUUGUUGUUCUUGAUACAGAUCCUACUGUAAAGGAAGCUAAUUUAGUUCCUAUCAUCCUUGGAAGGCCAUUUCUUGCAACUUCAAAUGCAAUCAUCAACUGUAGAAAUGGGCUUAUGCAACUCACUUUUGGUAACAUGACACUGGAUCUAAAUAUUUUCUAUAUGUCUAAAAAGCAAAUCACUCCAGAAGAAGAAGAGGGUCCAGAAGAGCUAUGUAUUAUUGAUACUUUGGUGGAGGAGCACUGCAAUCAACAUAUGCAAGAUAAGUUGAAUGAAAGUUUUGUGGAUAUUGAGGAAGGUUUUUCUGAAUCUCCUAAUGGGCUUGCUACUCUACAAAGUUGGAGAAAGAUAGAAGGAAUUCUACCUUUGUUCAAUGAAGAAGAGGAGGCAGCUGUUGAAAAAGAAAUUCCAAAACUCAAUCUGAAGCCUUUACCUAUGGAGCUGAAAUAUACAUAUCUUGAAGAAAAUAAUCAAUGUCCUGUCGUAAUAUCUUCAUCUCAAACCAAGUCUCAAGUGAAGGAUGCAAGCUUCAAAUGGGAUCCGGGCAAACUGAAUCAGGAAGGGCAAAAAGUUUUGAUGUAUGACACAAGACUCCAUAUCUUUCCUGGGAAGCUCAAGUCAAGGUGGAUUGGUCCAUUUGUUAUUCACCGAGUAUAUUCCAAUGGAGUGGUGGACUUAUUGAAUUCCAAUGGCAAGGACAGCUUUAGAGUCAAUGGAUAUCGUCUUAAGCCGUUCAUGGAGUCAUUCAAAUCAGAAAAGGAGGCAAUCAACCUCCUUGAACCUCAAAAAGCCUAAGUGAAAUGGGUUUGCUGGACGUGGUUUUACCACAGUCCAAAAAUUUUUGUAAAUUUUGUAAAUUUUCAAGUUGUUUCCAUGCUUUUAAUCUUAGUUUUUGAUUUUAAAUCAUGUUUUUAGGUGUGUUUUAAUCGUUUUAUAUGAUCCCAGGCGGAAGAAAUUUCAAGGGGAUUGAAAAGAAAAAAAUCGGGUCGAAAUUGGAGCCGAAACAGAGCAAAAACAGGGGAAAAACAGAGCUCUGCGAAAUUUCGCAGGGUGAAGGAAACUUCUGCGAAAUUGGCAUUUUGCUGCCAAACCAUUCCGCAGCACUGUAGAAGCCUCUGCGAGUGUAUUUCGCAAUUGCGAAAGUGGAUUUGGCACACGAGUGCCACUUCGCAGCACAGUGACAUCAAUUUCGCAGCUGCGAAACUCACUGCGAAGUUGCUGCGAAAAUGGCAAGUUGCUGCGAAAUUGGCGUUUUGUUGCGAAACGUAAUCUGACCCCUGGGCUUCCGUUUUUCCUAUUUAUACCUGUCAAAAGUGCUGCGAAAAAGGUUUCAAAAAUUAGAGCACCAUUCUCGCAGCCCUUUCAUCUUCUUCGCCAAGCCACGCCGUCCGUUUCUCCGGUCGUCUUCUCCGUUUAGCAGCGCCGGCCAAAGAUCGAUAGCCCAAAAAUGGCACGAACGCGAGGGGCAAAGUCUUCAUCCCCUUCGAACCGCAAAAGGAGUCUGCGAAAGGAGCCAAGUUCAGGCUCUGUUCCAGAACCUGCUCCAAAGCCUUCGCCGUCGAGACCACAACCUUCUCCAGUGAAGCCGGCGCCACCAAAGCCGCCGGCAAGGCGAUAUUUAACCAGGUCAGGUGGUCAGCCAUUGAAGAAGAAAGCCAGAGUUGAGAGCUCUGAACCAAUCGAUUUGACUGAGCAAUCCCCUGAGAAAUCACCAAAUCCUUCACCGGUACAAAUUCCAGUGCCAUCACCGGUUCCCUCGCCAAUUCCCUCACCAGAAGCAACUCCAAUUCCAUCGCCGGUACCAUCUCCGGCACCCCAAGAAAAAGCUCAGGAGCCUCAAGCGCCAAUUCCAGAGCCCCAAAUUGCAGCUGAAGCACCUCUGGAAGAAGUGAUCCGAAGGCCAAUGCUGCCUCAGCCCCCAAUCGAAGGAAACCUGGAUUGCCGAACUCGGGCAUUCCAUUCUGAGCUUUGCUUCGAUUUAACAGCAUUCAGAGUGAGGCCAGAGCUUGCCCAAUCCUUCCAACUGCUGAGGAGAUAUCAUAUGGAGCAUCUGCUAGCUCCAAGGGAUUUUUUCUAUCCCCGGGUAGUCACGGAUUUCUACCAAACCAUGACAACCAAAGAAGUAAGAAAUCCAACUCUGAUUCAUUUCAUAAUUGAUGGAAGGCAUGGUAUUUUGGGAGCAAGACAUAUUGCUGAAGCCCUGCAAAUUCCUUUUGAGCCAACUCAAUUCGACAAUUUUAAAGCUUGGACAAAUCCUACUGAGUUAGAGAUGGUUAGCACACUAACCAGAGGAGCUGCAAAUCGAUCGCAUUUGUUGAGGGGGGAGCUACCUCCAGUUAUGUUUUUGAUUGAUGCCUUUUUGAGGCAUAAUAUCUAUCCCCUGCAGCAUUGGACCCAAAGAAGGGGAAUUCUCCUAGAAGCCUUGUACAAAAUGUCUGAAGGAUUCUUCUUUGGGCCUCAUCAUCUGAUCAUGGCAGCCCUUCUAUACUUUGAGGAGAAGGUUCACAAGAAGAAGCUUCAAAGAGCAGAUUGCAUUCCACUCCUCUUCCCAAGGCUGCUAUGCCAAGUUUUGGAGCAUCUCGGAUACCCCUCUGAGCCUCAGCAGGAAAGAAAGAGAAUAUGCCGUGAGCCUUUUACCCUUGAUAAAUGGAAUAAUAUGACGGCCUACAAAAUUGAUCAGCCUGGGCAGCCUCAGCCAGCAGCAAGGAGAGUCUCCCCAAGACAUAUACCUGAAGGUAUAACACUUGCUACUCCUGCCAUCCCUCGAGCUCCACCAGCUGCACCUGCUCCAUCACAGCCAUCCACAUCAGCUGAGCCGAGGAUGGCCAUCCCUAUAUCCGAAUAUCGAGAGCUGUGCCGUGCAUUGGAGACUCUUACAGCUUCUCAGAGCAAUCUUGCUCAGGAGUUGGCAGCCAUUAAAGCAUGCCAGGAGCAGAUGUUAGCCUCUCAGACUCAACAAGCUGCCAUCCUAAGGCAGCUUCAAGUCCAUUUCGAUCUGCCACAAGCUGUAGAGCCCUCUAUUCCUACUCCACCAGAGCCACACUCUCAGCCUUCAGAGUCUCAUCCUCCAGAACCCGAAGCACCAGCUGAUCCACCUACUGAGGAGGCAGAUCCUUCUGCCUAGCACCAUCACCCCCCUCAUCAGACAUUAUAUAUAUAUUUGCUGUUUAUGUUUUUAUGCAUGUUUGUUUUGUUUUAGUUGAAAAGAAAUCCCAGUAUUUUGGUACUAUAUAUGGGAUUCCUUGUGUUACUUGUCUUUAGUAUUGUAAUCACAUGAACUCAAAGUAAUACAAGUUGACUAUUUCUUGUUAAAAGUUAGCAUUAAAGUUUCCUUAUUUCCUUUUCUCACAUAUUCUAUUCUUUUUGAAACAUGUGGUUUUCCCCAAUCAAUAUUCGAAUUUGAUAUCAGCAUGGAGGUACCACUUCCUCCCUUUUAUUACAGUCACUCAAAUCACAUUGAGGACAAUGCUCAGUUCGGUUGGGGGGUAUGAGGAAGGAAGUAUUCUAAACCUUUUUGGUAUUGCAAUUAUAUUGGUUAAUUAGUUGUAGAUUUUACUUUUUACUAGUGUUACUCUAUUCUCCAUGAAUUUUGAGGAAAAAUUUUCAAAUUAAACCAAGAGAAAUUGAACUGUUGUUUUUCACUUGACUUAGAGUAUGGAUUAUGCUUACUAAAGUGGUUCAAUUGUUGAAACUUCUACUGAAAUUGAAUUGAGUUCUUCCACUUUAAGCUAUCCACACACUGUGCACAUUAGUUUCCGAUUAUAAGAUGAAAAGCUAUUUCCCUCUUGACUUAGUAUAUUUUUGGGACUUGGUAUAUUUGACCUCAUUUGAUAAAAAUUGAAACACCCUGCAAAAGGCCAAUGAGCCUUUGAAAUAAAGAAAGUUGUUUGCUUGCCUUGAAACCCGAGCAAGGUCUGAGGGGUAUAUGGUGAAAAUCUUUAAAGCCUGGUGCCCUAAGCCUUAAUUGGUUGGGAGUCACCGACCUCAAUGCUCGUUACAAGGGUGAAUAGGUAGAGUUAGCAUAUGGUAGAUGCUUGGGUAUUAGAAAUUCAUUCUUAAAAGUCCGGGGAAAAAUCCGAGGAGUUAGUGGUUGAAAGAUCCUUAAAACUUGGUGCCCUAAACCUUAAUUGGUUGGGAGUCAUCGAUGGACCCCCAUUACAUGGACAAGUCAGAAAGAGUACCCCAUAAAGCUACCUUAAAAAAAAAAAAAAAAAAAAAAAAAAAAAAAAAGAUGAAAGUGUGUUCUUUUCUUAUUGAUUUUGGUCAGUUUGCUAAAGUGUUGAAAAGAGAUAGGUUGGGGGGUGAGAUUAGUAGCAUAUUAUUCUCGGAACCUAAGGAACCAAUACACAUAGAUUUUUGUGGAAGAUUGAAGUUUAGUUCUUAGAAAAUGAAAUGAUUUUAAAACUUCAGUUUGCAUAAUGCACUCCCUUGAUUGACAGUGUUUAGCAUAGGUGUUAUGACUCUUGUUGAGAUUUGGGUUUGUAUUUCUUUAAUGAUUCAUGUGAGAAAUAGAUCAUCAUGCCACUUGAGAAUUAUUUUCCUUUUAGCAUGAUGUUGUAAAUUUUAGAUUAGUUUGCUAUUUAUUUUUUAUUUUCUCUCCUAUAUUGCUAAGGGACUAGCAAUAUGUCGGUUGGGGGGAGUGAUUACUACUCAAAAAGUGCUAUUUGAUAGCCUUUAAUUAAUCCUUUUUAACACUUUUGAGUAGUAGUUUAGGCCUUUUAACUCAAUUGGCAUGUUAAGGAUCCUUUAAAGCAAUUUUGAUCACUUUGUGCAAGUUUUGGUGUUUUUGUUAGUAUUUUGAUCACCAAAGCAAGUCAAGAAUGAGGAGAACUAUGAGGAAUCAUGGGCAAAGCUUAGAAUUCAAUUGCCAAGAGUGAAUCCGGAUUGCAAGGAGAAAAAGCAAAGAGAAUCUGUCAUGAAGCCUAUUCUUGAUGACAGUCGUAGCAGCCACUUUUGGAGCACUUUCUGAAGUCCAAAUGAUGCAAGCUAUAUACCAUUUCAAAGCUCAGGAAGUCAACAAUCCAAUGCUUCAAACGGUGCGCGAUUCGGAGUUGAAACGAAGAAGUUGCAGCCAUUACAAGCCAGUCACUCUAAAGUGUUGCGGAAUCAGCCUUUUGUUGCGAGAAUUUCGCAGCACUUUUGUACAGUAAGGUGUUUCUCCUUCUGACGAUGCACGAACCAUGCCGCGAGAGGGAAGCUAGGAACUUCAAGAUGGAAGCCAACUUUGCAGCCUGGUGAAGAUAGCUUGGUCUUGCGAAAUAAUUUCGCAGCCCUCUUGGGUGUCUGCGAAAUUUCGCAGGCACCACUUUUUUCCUGCGAAAUGGCUCCGGAAGCCUCCCGAAGCUUGCUACCGACAUUGGGAGAUAUUUUCCAUUAGAUUUUUGUUGUCUAAAUUCCAAAAUACUCCUUGUAAACCACCAAUUACAUGAUUCCUUAGUUUUUAAGUUAGUAAAAAGACCAAAUAUCUAUGUAAUAAUUAGUUUUAUAUUAGUUUGCUAUAAAUACCUCUCGGGAGCAUGUUCUCAGAGAGGAGUUCCUUCUGUAACCAUUUUGGUAAGCAAGUAAAGUCUUUUCUUUCUACUGCCUUACCUUCUCACUUUGUAUUUUCAUUUUAUUUCUAAGUUAUGAAUUCUCUGAGGAGCUUUCCCCAGAGAAUGAGUAACUAAACCUCCAAUUCCUUGGAGCUAAGGUUGCCGGGGAAGGUUCCAAGUGCAAGAAUGCAAAGCUCUGUGGUUUUAGCUAGUAAUGAAGAGGAAGUGAAAUCCUUUAGUGAUUUCAAUGUUUUUAGUUAACUUAAAACACCUUGGAGUCACCUGGGCCAACACUUGGUAAGGCAAGUGAUUUCCAACCGUGGAAAUGCACUAGUUUACCCCUUGCGAGCCUCUGGUAGGUGACUUCAAGGUAGGAUUUUCUGGAAUUACCAACACUUGGUAAGCUUUUGGACUCCUAGGAGACAUCCAUUAGUUAUCUCUUGCGAGUUUGUGAAGGGGAAUCCAAGGUUAAAGAUCACCUUGAAUGGUAAGUGCUCGUGAGAGGCAUGAACCAUUGCAAGUUGUAUCAGUGAGAGAAUUAAAGUGAAAUCUAAUUGAAGGAGUCUCUGUACAUCACCGGUUAGAGAAUUGACUAUAAGUUGAAUCUCUAAUGCGAGGAAAUGAACCAUCUGACCGGAGCUAUGUCUUUUGCAUGAGGAACCACCCCAGUGAACCUAAAUCUCCAAGGAAUGCUUUUCUUCCUAAAUUAUUCCAAACUUCUGUUAAGUUAGUUAGUUUAAGUCUAAACCUUUACCAAUCAAACUUUGUGUUUUAUUCCUUAAGCUAACCGUGAAAUGAAACAAAACCAAUUCACUUGGAAUUGGUAUCCUUGAUUGCUUGCAAAUCAUUCCCAGUGAACGAUCCUUAGAGCCACUAUACUAUAGUAGCUUUGUAUUUGCUACCCUAGUGUAUGGUGUUAUAGGUAUAAAUUUUGUUGAUCACUUCCUCAAUCAAGGAACACCAGCUGAACACAAAUCAGCUGAGACACCAAUUGGGCAUGAGUCAGUGCGUUAGAGGAUCAAGAAGAAGAAAAAGAAGGAACUGUUGGAAUUAGUAUGAGUGUGAAGAGAAAAGUAUAUAAAUAAGGGGAAGUAAAAGCAAAGUUCAAAAAGCUAUAUUUUUUUAUUGUUGGUGUAUGGUUGCAUGAUUAUCCCUAUAAAUAAUAGGAGUUUUUUGGUAUUCUACUAGUAGUUGAAGCAUAAUUUCAUAAAUUAAUAUUUAGAGCGGGGUGGGGUGAGUUGUGACAAAAUUCAUACCCGUCCCAAACCUUGGUUCAGAUUUUUAAAAUAUUCUCAAACUUAUCAUAUACCCAACUUUUAUAUUUCAUACUUGUCCUAAUAGAGGCACGUUAGGCCGGGUUACUUGAGUAACCUACAUAAUUGUCAUCCCUAGUUGAAAUACACUUUUUGGCAGUGGCCACCAACUGAGCUAGAAGCUUGAUUGAUUGACCUACAAGAUUAGUUCUCAUCAUUUUAAAAAAAGUUCUGGCUUUGGUUGUGAGUGCAAUUGAAUCUAAACUGGCAUUUGCUUAAUGCAUCUACUUCAAUCCUAAACUUCUUACUUCUUAAGCCUCAAUUGUUGUUAGGAUUUUGGAAAACCCAUUUCCUUAAAUUGUAAAUUUAAGAUAAAAUAAAAUAAAAGUGAGACAUUUCUUGAUUGAAUAUUGUUAAAGGUCCCUUGGCAUUAAGACUUGGUUGAAGCCUUGGAAGAUUAGUGGAACUCUCAACAUGUGUUUGAAUCUUGAGGAGAGUGGAUGUAAGCCAAAAUUUUGUCAAACCAUUAUACAAAUUGAGUUUGAAUCCUCAUUUCUUGAUUUCUUAUUUAUUUGCUUUUUCUUAUUAUUACUUGAAUUGUCAUUUGCAUUCAUUAAUGUUAAAAUUGGUUAUAAUUAACCAACACUAAUUCUCUUUCCCCUUCCCUUUCUUGGGUGUAAACCUAGGUUGGAUUAACUAGAUAAAUCUAUUAAGAUGGUAAAAGAAUAAUUAUUCUUAACAUACAUAAGAUCAUCUUCAAUCAAAUGACUCAUUGGCUAAUAUGUUGAAUUUGCUUAUUACUUGCAACUCAAAAUUGUGUUCUAGUUGUGUCAAGUCCCCAGUGUAUGGACAUUAAAUUUGUAGUACGUGAUGAGUAAUUAGAUGGUCCAACUCCAAGAAAGUGAUUGAAAAGUAGUUCAAGAAAGGUGCAAAAGGGAAUUGUUUUGGUAUUUUCGUUUUUAUUCUUGAAGGUGGCAGAGCUAAAAUUUGAGAAAUCAAGCAAAACAUACUGAAAUUACAUUGAAAGAAAGAAGAUGGGAGUUAAUGUCUUGCAGUACAUGAUAAGGACUUCAUGCAUGUAGUGUGACCCAUGUCUUGGACUGAUGCCAACUCACGGUUACACUUAUACCCUUGGUUCUCUCUUUACUACCUUGGCUAACCUAGAUCAGGCUAUGAGAUAGGCUCCUCACCACACCAUUACUUGCCCAUUAAUUAGAGACAUUUUCAAGCAAUGAGGUAACAUGGUGACACCAAGAGGGUCUAUUCCUCGCCCGGAACAAGUCUAGACUUGGUCUCAAAAAAAUGGAGAAAAAUGAGGUGUCGUUAUGUAGAAAUACAACAACCAUGCCUUCCUCAUUACUUAGAUUCAGAAUGUGAAGGUGAAAUUGAGAAACAGAAACUCUUGAAACCAAAAUGAAAAUUGAUACUUUUACGAAGAAUUACAACAACAUUAGAGGAAGACUACAUUCUUCCUCUUUAUUCCUACAUUUCUACACUACUUCUACUCCACUCCAUAUUUCUACAUACAUCUUUAAUCAGUCUUCCCUCCUUUAUAUAGAGCCAUCUUCACACAAAUUUCGCAAGGUAGAAAAGAGGAAUGAAACUUGGAGCAAGGUUCGACUACUGGUUGUAGCUUGUCAAGGCUGGAAGUGAACUUUUCUUGGCUUUCUGGGCAUGGGUAGUAACUUGUGGGUUCCUGUUUGGCAUAAAAAUGGCUAGAACAUGUGGCACUAUCUUGUUGGAUGAUGUGUCAAGCAUGUGGCAGCCAUCUAGUGGCGAUUAUGUCAAUUUUGGGAUGGAGAGUUGGCAUCCAAUUGCAAAGAAAUAUGACGUCUACCAACAUGCAAUGUAAACCUAUGUAGAUCAUAUGAAGAUAGAGAGGAAAAAUAUAGAAAUGGAUAUAUACCUAGAACUAGCUUUUUAUUAAAUGAAACGGAGAGACAACAAUGAAGGAAAAUAAAAUUUUUUGGCUUAUAUCAAAGAGUUCACAUUGUGUUACCCUAGGUUUUCUUAAAACUUACUUUUAUGAUAACAAAAAAGAAAAAACCAUUAUUGUUUAAUCCUUUGUUUUAAACGCAUGUAAGGUGUAAUUAAGUUAGUUCAAUGCAUUAAUUUAAGAAACUUGACCUAUCAAAAGUACAAAAUUAGAUGAAAUCCAUUUCAAUGGUUAAAAUGAUCAAAAUCAAACUUUUUCUAAGUAUUUUUUAAAAGCAUCAAUAGUGAAAGACAAUUUUAUAUUUAGUCGGAGUUUGGACAAAACUGAAAAACACACAAAAUCCAAGCGACCAUCUCUAGCUUGGAUGGUCGCUUGAUCCCACCUAGAGAUGUGCAUGAGUAAAAGGAUUUGAAAAUGGAAAUUGACUAUGUAGUCGAUCAAUUAACUUUGCAACAUCAUAUGCAAUCCUAAUUGCUAGUCAUCUAAUCAAUUAGGUAGUCAAUCAACAGGCCAAAAAUAUGUUUAUAAUGACUAUUUUGUACAAAAACCACCUGUAUAGUUAAAUAUAAUGCAUUUCAUUUAUAAAUCUUCUAAUUCUUGAAUAACGAUCCUAUCAUCCUUUGAAAGUUUUUAUUACACUUUUUUUACUUUUGUUCUAAAACUUACACAUCACCCUUAAUUGUACCAUGAGAACCUAGCUAUUUUUUAUUUUUUUUUUUGUAAUUCAUCAAAGUUAGCUUUUGUAUUCAUUGUUGUAUUAUUUUUAGUAUAACUUAGAAAGCUAGUGUUUUCAAGUGAGUAAAAUUAACUUGUAAAUAUUGUAAAGAUUCAUCGACAUGUAUCUUAAACUAAGUGUACAAGUUAAAACAUUUGCUAGUAGAUUUUCUCAAAAUUUAGAAUAGAGCUUGAGACUAUUGAAAUAGGUGGGGUUGCACCAAACCACAUCACAUCGUUGUUUGCACCUUUUUUCACUCUCUUUUACUUAGUUGCUCUAUAUUUGUUGUCUAGUAAUAUCCUAUAGGCUUGAUGGGUUAGGGAGCAUCCCUUUGUGAAAAAAUUUUAUUCAAUCCUUAGUUGUAUCACGCAUAUAUAAAAUGCCUCAUUGUUUUAAUGGUAUUCAGUCGUGGCAUCACAGAUAUGGGCAUCUAAAUUUUAAAAGUUUGAAACUUUUAUCUAAAGAAAAUAUGGUGCUUUGCCUUUUUGUAAAGCAUGUUGAUGAAAUCCAUGAGAAUUGUGUACUUGGGAAGCAACACCGAGAUGACUUUUUUUUUUUUUUUAUAAUAUUGUUUGUCCAAAUUCCCUACAAAUUAGGCCACCAGAUGUUCAUAAUUCUCCCUUCUUGAAUUUGAAAACUCGGACAAUUGGACAAUGCGACACCUAAGUCCGGUUUCUAAAUGCUAAAGUGAAAGGGUAGGUAUGGACCAUUGAAAUGUGAUCACAACUUUUCUCUGUAGCCAUGUUGUCUCUUUUUUCUUUUGCAUGAUUUUCUUACCUUAACAGAAUCAUAGACUUGUUUAGUCUCUAAAUGGGAUUAAUUUCAUCCAGCUUUAAGCUACUAUAUUAUAUCUAGGUGGAGGACUUUUAAGAGUGCAACCGACAUAGAGCACAUGGAAGUGGGUAUAUGGGACAUGAAAUUUCUUCUUAUAAAGAUUGCAUGAUUUUUAUAUUAGAGUUGUUGAGGCGCUAUGUAUUUAGCUUGUUUUGCAGUUAAAUUAAUUGGAUAAGUAGACAUUGGCGUUUCUAAAUCUACUGUGAAGUGCUUCAUGUACGUGUGAAGUAUUAGAAAUUUCUUUCUUGGCAACUUGUUUUUCUUUGCGGUCUACUGAUAGGUUUGACUAAAAUUAUAUUCCCUGUCAUGCUAAUUAAUUUUCACGUGCAUGCUCAAAAGAAAAGUAUGACCUUAGUGCACCAAAAUCACUUUGAUUAAUUUGUGAUAGGUUUUUGUGCAUCAUGACAUUAGCCUUAUUCAUUUAGAUAAUGUUUAGUUUUUAGAAAGUAUUAAGAAAAGGAAAAUAAAUAUUAAGAAAAAUAUUCUUAUAUUUGAUUGUAUUAUGAAAAAUAUCAUAAAAAAAUCAAAUAUAAUUUAAAUUAAUUAAUAAUUUAUACAUUUUCAAAUUAUUUAAUCUUUAUAUUGAAGAUAUAAUAUAAAUGAAAUGAGUUUUAAGUAUUAUAUAAAAGUGAUUUAUUGAUCUUACAUAUAUAUAUUUCUUUUUUUUUUCCUUCUAUUUUUUCUCUUUAUUUUAUUUUCCUUAUGUUUUCCUCAACAUUUUCCGGAACCAAACAUAGCCUUAGGAAAUCCACAAUUACCUUCAACUGAGUAGAUUCUGUUGUUUUAGCAAUGUUAGGCUGCUAACUUGUGUUGGUACGAACCUAUUAAGCCUAAAGAUGUAAUUAGUUAGGAUAUUCUUUUCCCUCUAGUCUUGUAGCUCCACGUGUACAGUUGGUUAGGACCUCAUUGUAUAUAAUGCUUGCCCUGUUAUUGUAGAAGACAACAAAGAUAAAUAAUAUUAACAUUUUUCCUCUCAUCUCUCUCUGUUUCCCUCUGUUUUCAUCUCCUCUCUCAUCUUGGUAUCAGAGCCUCCAUGGCUUCUUUCAAAGAAACCUCCGAAUCACCUUCUGCUAGCAUUGUUAAUGUGCAAAACCCAUUAUCUCAAUCAAACAACCUUCCUUCACCAGUAGCCACACCCUCUUUUUCUUUCUCGUCUAUGAAUCAACCUCUCACAGUGAAGCUGGAUAAUGGGAACUACCUCAUAUGGAAGAAUUAGCUUCUAAAUGUCAUCAUUGCUAACGGACUCGAUGAUUUCAUUGACGGAUCUCGACCCUGCCCUCCUCGAUUUCUCGAUCUGCAACAACAAACCCUCAAUCCAGAGUACUCAGCUUGGCAGAGAUACAAUCGACUUCUGAUGAGUUGGCUGUACGCAUCCUUGUCCAAAGAUAUAAUGGCUCAGAUUGUUGGGUAUUCAACAGCUAUGGAGAUUUGGAAUGCCCUUAAUCAGAUUUACUCUGCCUCUUCUAUGGCGCGGUUUACUGAGCUUCGCACCAAGCUUCAAACGCUCAAGAAAGAUGGACUCUCAGUUGGUGAAUAUAUUCAAAGGCUCAAAUCCAUUUGCAAUAGUCUUGCAGCAAUAGGAGAACCAGUUUCUGAGAAAGACCAUCUUAUCUAUUUGUUCAAUGGAUUAGAUUGUGAGUAUUAUUCUUUUGUUACCUCCAUUCAAAAUCGAUCUGACCAACCAACUAUUGACAAAAUCCAUAGCCUAUUGCUUAGCUAUGACUUCCGGCUUGAACAACAAAACUCUGUUUCUCUCCAUUCUGCCCAAGUCCAUAUGGCUCAUCUGAACAAGAAACCUUAUAAAUCAACUCCUCAACCUACAUUCAAUCAUAUUCACAUUCAACCUAGAUACUCUUCUCCACCUUUUAAGCCAACCACUAGUCAAUAUCAACCCAACAUUUUGGGCAAACCACAACCACAACCAUGACAGCCUCAACCUCAAUGGAAACCACAUUUUUCAAUCUAAAAUCAAAAGCCUCAGCGCCAAAUUUGUGGUAAAUUUGGACACACUGCUCUUAUUUGCUUCCAUCACACAAAUUUGAACUAUUCACCCCAACCUUCUCCUAAAUCUUUCAAUACUGUUCUCACCACAAAUUCCCAGCUCCCUAAUCCUCCAAAAUUUUCUUACCCUACAAUGGCUCAUCCUGCUGCUACGCAUAACACGGUUCCCGAUACAAAUUGGUACAUGGACUCAGGUGCUACACAUCACUUUACUCUGGACAUCAACGUGCUUGACACUGUGACACCAUUUAGUGGUUCAGAACAGGUGACAGUUGGGAAUGGUAAGCAACUCUGUAUCUCACAUCUUGGUACUGCAAAACUACCAUCUUCGUAUUCUCCUCCUGUUCUACAUCAGGUAUAUCACACUCCAAAAAUUUCAAAUAAUCUUAUUAGUGUUAAAAAAUUGUGUUCUGAUAAUAAAGUUUUUGUUGAAUUUUAUGCCACUCAUUUUCUUGUCAAGGAUCAGGUUUCGAAGAGAGUUCUCCUUUAGGGUCAACUUGAUAAUGGCUUAUACAAAGUUCAGUCGUCAUGCUCUCCUUCUGCUGUUUCCUUUCCUCCUCAAGUUUUCAUAGCCAACAUCAAGUAUCCAAAUCUGUGGCACAAGAGACUAGGCCACCCAGCUUUAUCUGUUGUUAAUCAAAUCUUGGAUUCUUGUAACAUUGCUCGAACACAGAAAAUUUGUUUUAAUUUUUUAAAUUCUUGUCAAUUAGCAAAGAGCCACAGGCUUCCUUUUUCUCUGUCUCCAUCCAUUGCAGAAAAACCUUUUGAGUUAAUUCAUACAGACCUAUGGGGUCUUUCGCUCGUUCGCUCUAUUUCUGGUGCUCUUUAUUUUUUACUUUUCAUUGAUGAUCAUACUCGUUUUACUUGGUUUUAUUUGCUCAAAACAAAAGAUGAAGCAUAUCCUACUUUUCUCAAGUUUCAAGCUCUCAUUGAAAAUCAAUUUAAUACCAAGAUUAAGGCUGUCCAAUCUGAUUGGGGAGGUGAGUUUCGAUCUCUCUCCAUACCGUUUUCAAAUAUGGGCAUUGUCUAUUGUUUAUCGUGUCCAUACACCUCACAACAGAAUGGGCGAGUUGAGCGAAAAAAUCGCCAUGCGAUUGUCCUUUCUUGCUUGCUCUAUGCCCUUAUCUUAUUGGCCUUAUGCCUUUCAAACUGCCACUUACCUUAUUAAUCGUCUCUCUACCCCUGUGCUGCAUCAUCAAUCCUCUUACUUCGCACUCUAUCACAAACUCCCAACUUAUACUCAUCUUAAGGUCUUUGGUUCCUCUUGUUUUCCGUAUUUGCACCCUUAUAAUACCCAUAAACUCCAAUACAGGUCACUAGAGUGUGCUUUUCUUGGUUACAGUUCACACCACAAAGGUUAUCUAUGUCUUGACAUUCAUUCUAGCAGGGUGUAUAUUUCUCGCCAUGUGAUUUUUAAUGAAGAUUCUUUUCCAUUCAAGAAUUUGAAAUCUUCUCUCUCUCAGUCUAUUUCUUCUUCCUCUUCUUUAUAAGUUCCUCUGUUCAUUCUCUUGCCUCCCCUUUCCCCAUCUCCUCUUAUUUCUUCAUCUAUACCUCAUUCUUUUCCCUCUUCUUCUUCUACCUCUAGUACUUGUUCCCCUCUCGUUGCUCCUACCUCUCUUCCUUCCUCUUCACACUCUGUGUCUCCAUCUAUUCCACCUCCUUCUCCACCUUCUCCGAGUGUGGACCUGCUUGCACCUUGUGUGAAUACAAAUUUACAUACUUCUUCUCGCACUCACAAUAUUCAUCCUAUGGUGACUAGAUCUAAGGUUUGUAUCUAUAAACCUAAGUUGUUGUUGAGUGUCUCCAUAGGUUCUCUCACUAAGCCUACUUCCUUUCUUCAAGCUAUUAAAGAUCCUUCAUGGAAGCAAUCCAUGGAAUUCGAGUUUGCUACCCUUCAACACAACAAGACCUGGCAUUUGGUUCCUUCACCUUCCUCAGGCGAAGUAAUCGGUUGUAAAUGGGUCUAUAAGCUAAAGCUUCAGCCUGAUGGCUAAAUUGAGAGAUACAGCCUGCUUAGUAGCUAAGGGUAUCAUCAAAUUGAAGUAUGGACUACUUCGAAACAUUCAGCCUGAUNNNNNNNNNNNNNNNNNNNNNNNNNNNNNNNNNNNNNNNNNNNNNNNNNNNNNNNNNNNNNNNNNNNNNNNNNNNNNNNNNNNNNNNNNNNNNNNNNNNNAGCUUCAGCCUGAUGGCUAAAUUGAGAGAUACAAGGCCUGCUUAGUAGCUAAGGGUUAUCAUCAAAUUGAAGGUAUUGACUACUUCGAAACAUUCAGCCUGAUUGUCAAGCUUUCUACUAUCUGUAUUGUGCUCAGUCUUACUUUUUCCCAGAAUUGGUGUAUUAGACAGCUGGAUGUUCAUAAUGCCUUCUUACAUGGUGACUUAGCUAAAGACGUUUUCAUGGAACAACUGCCUGGAUUUGUUGAUCCUCUCUAUCCUACUCAUGUCUGCAAGUUGGAUAAGUCUCUCUACUGUCUUAAAUAGUCACCUCGGGCUUGGUAUACUAAGCUGAGUACUUCUCGCUACACUUGGGAUUUGUUACUUCUAAGAAUGACUCUUCCUUAUUUAUUUGUCAUUCGUCUCAUGGGUUACUUCUUGUUCUUGUCUAUGUGGAUGAUAUAAUCGUCAUUGGGAGCCACUCUCCUCAGGUUACUCACCUUAUCCAACAGUUGCAUCAUUAGCUUUCUUUAAAGGAUCUUGGUCCUUUACAUUAUUUUCUGGGCUUGGAGGUUCAUCACACCCCUACUGGUAUUCACCUCAGCCAAGCAAAGUAUAUCACUGAUCUCCUUACCCGGGCGGCUAUGUUGGAUGCCAAGCCAUGUCCCACUCCUAUGUCCUCCAACACAUAUCUCUCUUUUCAUGAUGGAGUGGCUCUUGAAAAUGGUUCAGAUUAUCGAAGUUUUGUUGGUGCCCUUUAGUAUUGUACCAUGACACGCCCAGAUAUAGCUUUUGCAAUAAAUAAAGUGUGUCAAUUCAUGCACCAUCCCUCUAAUGUUCACUGGCAGGCUAUAAAACGUAUUCUCCGGUACUUAAAGGGCACAUCUCAUUUUGGUCUCUUCCUACAGCCUUCCUAUGACUUCAACAUCACUUGCUAUACAAAUGCCGACUGGGCUUCCUGUCCUGAUGACAAGUGUAGCACCAGUGGCUACUGCCUCUUUCUUGCCUCUAAUCUGGUUUCUUGGUCAUCUUCCAAACAAAAAGUGGUCUCCCGCUCCAGCGCCGAAUCAGAGUACCGAGGGGUAGCAAAUGGGGCUGCUGAAAUUGCUUGGACUGAAUCUCUUCUUUGUGAACUUUCCAUUACUCCCCCUCCCCUCAUUCUCUGUGACAAUAUCAGUGCCACGUACUUAGCUGCCAAUCCUAUUUUGCAUGCCCGCACCAAACAUGUGGAAAUCGACUAUCACUUUGUCACGGAACGUGUUCUUCAAUGCUCUCUUUUUGUCCAGUUUACACCUUCUGAUGAUCAACUUGCUGAUUGCAUGACCAAGCCUCUCUCCACCCAACGUUUCAUCACUCUACGCUCCAAGCUCACUGUUCUCACUAGACCAAUGAGCUUGAGGGGGGAUGUUAAGCCUAAAGAUGUAAUUAGUUAGGAUAUUCUUUUCCCUCUAGUCUUGUAGCUCCACGUGUACAGUUGGUUAGGACCUCAUUGUAUAUAAUGCCUGCCCUGUUAUUGUAGAAGACAACAGAGAUAAAUAAUAUUAACAUUUUUCCUCUCAUCUCUCUCUCUGUUUCCCUCUGUUUUCAUCUCCUCUCUCAUCUGAACCAAAUGAUCCAUGUUAACCUUGGCUUGGUUUGAUUUGGCUCUAUCUUAGAGAGCUCAAGGAUCACGUCAACUCUGGUUUCUACUAUUCAGGUCCAUUCCCAUAUGAACUGGUUCAAAUUUGAGAAAAUGGUAACAGACCUUUAGUGAUGUUGGUUUGGAGCCAGUUGCCAAACCCGCCCUGAGCUUUACCACUAAUGUCAAGGGAGAAAGCCAUUUGAACAAAAACAAUAGCUUCAAGGGACUGAAUCGUGGAUGAAAUCUGAUCCACAUUUCUUCUCAUUUUGGAAACAAAUGAGAACUUAACUAAGAAGAUUCUACGGCCUCAUAGUGCUUUUCCUGAUCUAAGGUUGGUUCGUUUCCCAAACUGUGAGAUGCACGUGCCAGACUUCAGAACUCUCACGCUCAGGAGUGUAUCCACGUGGUGGACAUAAGAUGGUGGCUUAAGAUCUGGUGUCGGUGGCUUUACUUUACUAGGAGAGUAGUGUGUCUUCAUCUCAUUCACUGCCGGAGGGUGGCGUAAGCAGUGACGCUAAGGUGGGGCACAGUCAAUAUCAUUUGCAUUUGACCAUUAUAGUUUUCUCCCGGCUUUAAAGUAACCUUAUCGUGAUAAAGGAUUACUAGCACUAGUUCAGAUGAUAGUCAUGUUAAAUUCGGACCAUGUUUGUGUCACAUUAUCAGCAACCAUGUGUUUAUGGUUCAUGCUUUCUGCAACUAAAAUUGAUAUAUAACCAGGUGAACUUCAAUCUAAAUUCUGAAAGUACUCAUGUGAUAGAUGGUGCCCGUCUGCAGAGUCCAUCAAUUGAAAAAUGGAGUGAGUGUAUCUAUAAGAGGGAAGGCUUGGAAAAUGUUCAGUUUUCUGGGAAUUCAACAAGGAUCUAAAAUAGAUUGUUUUCUUUGCUGAUUUCAAUGGUUGAAAUUUGAGAAGAUUGUGUCCACAUAACACAACUAUUACUGGUCCUUCUGUUGCAAUUUAUCCUCUAAAGCUCUAGCAUGUCUUCCAAUUCCCACUUCCCUGUUACUCCAGGAAAGCUAUUUCUGUCAUUGUGAAGAAGAAAAGAGAAUGUACAUAUCGAUGCUUUUAAGUGACUGGAGCAUUUAUAUCAGGUGGUCUGCAGCCAUAUAUGCCACUUUGUGAAGAUUGGAACAGUCAAUCACUAGGCUAUAUAUUAGUGUGGCCCAGCCACUUUAAUCAAGGACAAGUCUUCAUACUUAAAGUCAAAUUCUGCCUUUAGUCUCAUUAUAAAUUUCUGUUUAAAUAUUAAGCAAACAUUUGUUUAAUGCGAUUAAGACAGUACUAACUCAAUACCUGUUCUAUUUUUGGAUGCAAAUGCUUGAUGGUUUCAUCAUUGGAUGGGAUAAAGGUGCAUUCAUGAUUAGGAAUACUAGUAGUUAUAUUUUAAUUCUCUUUUUUCUCAAUGAGACUUGUUGGCACAAUUUUGCUGUUGAGAAACCUACCUCUCCAUGGAAAAUAAGUUGUGAUUGAUAGUACUGGAUAUAUUCAAGAAAUCUAAAUAUAGAUAGCACAAAAUAUUAUCGACAUAAAUAGCAUUAACAGCGUACGUAUGUCUCAGUGCUCAUCAGCUAUAAGCAUGGGGCAAACACUUACUAUGAGCAACUUACGUCAAAAUUCCAGAAUAGGACAUAGAAGUGACAGAUAUAGAACAUUGCAUAUGAGUCACAAGAAAGGAAAUUACGGGUGCAUAGCAGCUCUUAUUUUACAUACUACUACUCAUACUGAUCAAAGUCACUCAGUUGGGAUGGGUGGGAGUAGGAGGUUUGUGGGGUGGCUUGUGCGGAGGAGUUGGCAGCUUCUUUCCAGGACCUGGUUGCUUCUCUGCUGGAGUUGAAGGAGGCUUAAUCUUCCGAGGUGGCUUGUAUGAGUCUUCAGCAUUCUCAGCUGGAGGGUGACCAGGGUUGUGACCAUAAUGUGGUGGCUUCUCUCCCUUAGGUGGUUUGCCAACUGGGGUUGGUGGCUUGUAUGAGUCUUCAGCAUUCUCAGCAGGAGGGUGACCAGGGUUGUGACCAUAAUGUGGUGGCUUCUCUCCCUUAGGUGGUUUGCCAACUGGGGUUGGUGGCUUGUGUUCUGGGAGUGGCUUCUCCCCCUUGGGAGGUUUUUCCAAUGGGGUUGGUUUGUGUUCAGGAGGUGGCUUCUCCACUGGAGGCUUGUGUUCAGGAGGUGGCUUCUCCACCGGAGGCUUGUGUUCAGGUGGUGGCUUCUCCACCGGAGGCUUAUGCUCUGGUGGUGGCUUCUCGAAUGGGGGAUGCUUAGGAUAAUCAGCAAGUGAGGGGGCGGUGAGAACCACCAGGCCAAGCAACACCACUAGCAAAUAUGUAGGAGACAUCUUUGGGUUUGGGCUCAGAUGGUGCAAAACUAGGAGAAUUGGCUAGCCUUUUAUAGCGGAUCGUACCCAAUAAUGAAAUGACACGUGUCAUUAUGACCCAUGUGUAAUGGGGUCGAUUUGGGUCCUACAGUGUUGAAAACUUCGACAUCCACUUUUGGCCUUUUGCUUUCUCUACAGCCGCCUUGCUUUUUCCCUCUUUCCUUUUGUUUUCCUCCUGCCCCAUUCUAUCAACUAAACACAAUUAUGUAGUUGUUUAAUUCUUAAAUGAGAUAUUAUCCGUCAAUCGUAUUAUAUUUUAUCAAGAGAGAACGGAGUGCAAUGUGGCUGUAAUUUUAUCGUUUAGUUUUAUCUCUUGGACCACUGCAUUUUUGUUAAGAGGUGCAAUAAUACACGUCUUUAUCUGCCAUUCAAUAUUUACAGUAAAGAGAGGGCACAAAACUCUUCACUUCGCACCAUAAUUAUUUUGUUUUCUGGACACCCCGGGGCCCUUUGGUUGGUUUGGGGGUCAGAAAGUGAACAUCAUAGGGGGUUUUUCCCUUAUGUGCAUUUGUAUCUGAUGGCUUUAACUCGCCUUGUUACUACAAAGAAACUGUCACAGAUAGGAACUUAUUCCAGGCUGAGUAUCUCCUCAUAGACCCUAUAAAAGAAGACAAGUCAUAAUGAACAUCUAACCUUUGUUCAAUUUGAUUCAAUGCCCCCAUUGUGUCCAUCUCACAAAUCUGAAUUAUUAUAUCCAUUGAAUACAUAAAUUAAUGAAGAAAAUAUGAAACCCAAGAUACAUCUCUGCACAACCUCAACCCUGGUUGCUAUGUUUCCCUUCUAUUCACAUGAUUUGAUGCUAAUUGCCAAACUUGCAACAAGCCCUGAGUUUGACACCUAGUAUCGAUGGGCGAAUUUAAAGUCUCCUCCAAACAUAUAUUCCACAGCUUGAAGCUCACAGAAGAUGUUACAGGCAGGGAAAAACCUUCAGAGUUCGCUACCAAAGAUAAUUAUUAAGGAGAUAUCACAAAGAGAAUUCCAAGGGGUCUGAAUCAAAGACAAAUUGGUCGUUCGUGGGGGUUCUUACUUUCUUUUGGGUAUAACUCACUGAGGGCACUGUCUUUGUUAUUUGCAUUUCACAUUUAGAGUUCUGUUCUGGAAACAUAUAAAAGGAGCAUCAUUUUGUUCUUGGGUAACCCAUAGUCGUGAGUGGGUCCAUUUGCAUGCUACUUAGUUGAAAAGUUGGACCAUUUGCUCCGACGCCUACCUCCCGGAUUCCAUGCUCGGAUAAAACAAGAAUAAAAAAAAUAUUUAUAAUUUACAAAUGGGGGAAAGAAAAAAAUGUCAACAACAAACCAGGAAAAAAGAGUAGUAAAAUUCAUGUCACAUGCUAGUGAGAGAAGGGGUUGUUACACUCACUCGAAGUUCUUUCCAAAAUAUCGCAUGGUAUUUUAUUUUAUGUGUCAGCGCAGUUGUGAAUGGAACGUGCAAAAGUCCAAAUUGGCGUUUUUCCUUUUCCCGUGUAGGAUGGCGACCUUUAAUAAAUAUUUAAAACAAAAAACGAAAAAAAGGAGGGAAAAGGGAUCAGAAAAGAUAAAACAAUGUGUACAAGAGCUCAAUUAGUUUGCAAAUUACUGUUUGGAUUUUGAUAGUAUUUUAUUUGUCCAUCUAUAUUUGAUGGAAAAGAGAAUUUAAGAUAUUUCUGAAACAAAAGCAUUAGUGUAAAACUAAAUUAAGGUAUAAUUAAGUUAGUUCAAUGCAUUAAUUUAAGAAACUUGAUCUAUCCAAAGUACAAAAUUAGAUGAAAUCCAUUUCAAUGGUUAAAAUGAUCAAAAUCAAACUUUUUCUAAGUAUUUUUUAAAAGCAUCAAUAUUAAAAGACAAUUUUAUAUUUAGUCGGAGUUUGGACAAAACCAAAAAGCACACAAAAUCCAAGCGACCAUCUCUAGCUUGGAUAGUCACUUGAUCCCACCUAGAGAUGUGCAUGAGUAAAAGGAUUUGAAAAUGGAAAUUGACUAAAUAUUUAGUUGAUCAAUUAAAUUUGCAAUGUCAUAUGCAAUCCUAAUAGCUAGUCAUCUAAUCAAUUAGGUAGUCAAUCAAGUGUUUGUAAUGACUAUUUUGUACAAAAAACCACAUGUAUAGUUAAAUAUAAUGCAUUUCAUUUAUAAAUCUUCUAAUUCUUGAAUAACGAUCCUAUCAUCCUUUGAAAAUUUUUAUUACACCUUUUUUACUUUUGUUCUAAAACUUACAUAUCACCCUUAAUUGUACCAUGAGAACCUAGCUAUUUUUUUUUUUUUUGUAAUUCAUCAAAGUUAGCUUUUGUAUUCAUUGUUGUAUUAUUUUUAGUAUAACUUAGAAAGCUAGUGUUUUCAAGUGAGUAAAAUUAACUUGUAAAUAUUGUAAAGAUUCAUUGAUAUGUAUCUUAAACUAAGUGUACAAAUUAAAACAUUUGCUAGUAGAUUUUCUCAAAAUUUAGAAUAGAGCUUGAGGCUAUUGAAAUAGGUGGGGUUACACCAAACCACAUCACAUCGUUGUUUGCACCUUUUUUCACUCUCUUUUACUUAGUUUCUCUAUAUUUGUUGUCUAGUAAUAUCCUAUAGGCUUGAUGGGUUAGGGAGCAUCCCUUUGUGAAAAAAUUUCAUUCAAUUCUUAGUUGUAUUACGCAUAUAUAAAAUGCCUCAUUGUUUUAAUGGUAUUCAGUCGUGGCAUCACAGAUAUGGGCAUCUAAAUUUUAAAAGUUUGAAACUUUUGUAAAGCAUGUUGAUAAAAUCCAUGAGAGUUGUGUACUUGGGAAGCAACAUCGAGGUGACUUUAUUUUUUUUUCCUUUUAUAAUGCCACACCUAAGUCCGGUUUCUAAAUGCUAAAGUGAAAGGGUAGGUAUGGACCAUUGAAAUGUGAUCACAACUUUUGGCCUUUUCCUUUCUCUGCAGCCAUGUUGUCUCUUUUUUCUUUUGCAUGAUUUUCUUACCAAAACAGAAUCAUAGACUUGUUUAGUCUCUAAGCUACUAUAUUAUAUCUCGGUGGACUUUUAAGAGUGCAACCGACAUAGAGCACAUGCAAGUGGGCAUAUGGGACAUGAAAUUUCUUCUUACAAAGAUUGCAUGAUUUUUAUAUUAGAGUUGUUCACGUGCAAUGUAUUUAGCUUGUUUUGCAGUUAAAUUAAUUGGAUAAGUAAACAUUGGCAUUUCUAAAUCGACUGUGAAGUGCUUCAUGUACGUGUAAAGUAUUAGAAAUUUCUUUCUUGGCAACUUGUUUUUUCCUUGCCAUCUACUGGUAGGUUUGACUAAAAUUAUAUUCCCUGUCAUGCUAAUUAAUUUUCAUGUGCAUGCUCAAAAGAAGAGUAUGACCUUAGUGCACCAAAAUCACUUUGAUUAAUUUGUGAUAGGUUUUUUUGCAUCAUUUAGAUAAUGUUUAGUUCUAAGAAAAAUUUAUAUAAAAAUGGUUUAUUUAUCUUACAUAUAUAUAUAUAUAUAUAUAUUUUUUUUUUUUUCAUUUUUUUUUCUUCUAUUUUAUUUAUUUAUUUUAUUUUCCUUAUGUUUUCCUCACAUUUUCCGGAACUAAACAUAGUCUUACGAAAUCAACAAUUGCCUUCAACUGAGUAGAUUCUGUUGUUUUAGCAAUGUUAGGCUGCUAACUUGUGGUGGUACGAACCAAAUGACCCAUGUUAAUCUUGGCUUGGUUUGAUUUGGCUCUAUCUCAGAGAGCUAAAGGAUCACGUCAACUCUGGUUUCUACUAUUCAGGUCCAUUCCCAGAUGAACUGGUUCAAAUUUGAGAAAAUGGUAACAGACCUUUAGUGAUGUUGGUUUGGAGCCAGUUGCCAAACCCGCCCUGAGCUUUACCACUAAUGUCAAGGGAGAAAGCCAUUUGAACAAAAACAAUAGCUUCAAGAGACUGAAUCGUGGAUGAAAUCUGAUCCACAUUUCUUCUCAUUUUGGGAAAAAAUGAGAACUUAACUACAAAGAUUCUACUGCCUCAUUCAUAGUGCUUUUCCUGAUCCAAGGUUGGUUCGUUUCCCAAAUUGUGAGGUGCACGUGCCACUCUCACGCUCAGGAGUGUAUCCACGUGGUGGACAUCAGAUGGUGGCUUAAUAUCUGGUGUCGGUGGCUUUACUUUACUAGGAGAGUAGUGUGUCUUCAUCUCAUUCACUGCCGGAGGGUGGCGUAAGCAGUGACGCUAAGGUGGGGCACAGUCAAUAUCAUUUGCAUUUGACCAUUAUAGUUUUCUCCCGGCUUGAAAGUAACCUUAUCGUGAUAAAGGAUUACUAGCACUAGUUCAGAUGACCGUCAUGUUAAUUCGGACCAUGUUUGUGUCACAUUAUCAGCAACCAUGUGUUUAUGGUUCAUGCUAUCUGCAACUAAACUUGAUAUAUAACCAGGUGAACUUCAAUCAAAAUUCUGGAAGUACUCUUGUGAUAGAUGGUGCCUGUCUGCAGAGUCCAUCAAUUGAAAAAUGGAGUGAGUGUAUCUAUAAGAGGGAAGGCUUGGCAAAUGUUCAGUUUUCUGGGAAUUCAACAAGGAUCUAAAAUAGAUUGUUUUCUUUGCCGACUUCAAUGGUUGAAAUUUGAGAAGAUUGUGUCCACAUAUCACAACUAUUACUGGUCCUUCUGUUGCAAUUUAUCCUGUAAGGCUCUAACAUGUCUUCCAAUUCCCACUUCCCUGUUACUCCAGGAAAGCUAUUUCUGUCAUUGUGAAGAAGAAAAGAGAAUGUACAUAUCGAUGCUUUUAAGUGACUGGAGCAUUCAUAUCAGGUGGUCUGCAGCCAUAUAUGCCACUUUGUGAAGGUUGGAACAGUCAAUCACUAGGCUAUAUAUUGGUGUGGCCCAGCCACUUCAAUCAAGGACAAGUCUUCAUACUUAAAGUCAAAUUCUGCCUUUAGUCUCAUUAUAAAUUGCUGUUUAAAUAUUAAGCAAACUUUUGUUUAAUGCGAUUAAGACAGUACUAACUCAAUACUUGUUCUAUUUUUGGAUGCAAAUGCUUGAUGGUUUCAUCAUUGGAUGGGAUAAAGGUGCAUUCAUGAUUAUGAAUACUUGUAGUUAUAUUUUCAUUCUCUUUUUUCUCAAUGAGACUUGUUGGCACAAUGUUGCUGUUCAGAAACCUACCUCUCCAUGGAAAAUAAGUUGCGAUUGAUAGUACUGGAUAUGUUCAAGAAAGCUAAAUAUAGAUAGCACAAAAUAUUAUCGAUAUAAAUAGCAUUAACAGCGUACGUAUGUCUCAAUGCUCAUCAGCUAUAAGCAUGGGACAAACACUUACUAUGAGCAACUUACGUCAAAAUUCCAGAAUAGGACAUAGAAGUGACAGAUCUAUAUAUAUAGAACACUGCAUAUGAGUCACAAGAAAGGAAAUUACGGGUGCAUAGCAGCUCUUAUUUUACAUACUACUACUCAUACUGAUCAAAGUCACUCAGUUGGGAUGGGUGGGAGUAGGAGGUUUGUGGGGUGGCUUGUGCGGAGGAGUUGGCAGCUUCUUUCCAGGACCUGGUUGCUUCUCUGCUGGAGUUGAAGGAGGCUUAAUCUUCCGAGGUGGCUUGUAUGAGUCUUCAGCAUUCUCAGCUGGAGGGUGACCAGGGUUGUGACCAUAAUGUGGUGGCUUCUCUCCCUUAGGUGGUUUGCCAACUGGGGUUGGUGGCUUGUAUGAGUCUUCAGCAUUCUCAGCAGGAGGGUGACCAGGGUUGUGACCAUAAUGUGGUGGCUUCUCUCCCUUAGGUGGUUUGCCAACUGGGGUUGGUGGCUUGUGUUCUGGGAGUGGCUUCUCCCCCUUGGGAGGUUUUUCCAAUGGGGUUGGUUUGUGUUCAGGAGGUGGCUUCUCCACUGGAGGCUUGUGUUCAGGAGGUGGCUUCUCCACCGGUGGCUUGUGUUCAGGAGGUGGCUUCUCCACCGGAGGCUUAUGCUCUGGUGGUGGCUUCUCCACCGGAGGCUUAUGCUCUGGUGGUGGCUUCUUGAAUGGGGGAUGCUGAGGGUAAUCAGCAAGUGAGGGGGCGGUGAGAACCACCAGGCCAAGCAACACCACUAGCAAAUAUGUAGGAGACAUCUUUGGGUUUGGGCUCAGAUGGUGCAAAACUAGGAGAAUUGGCUAGCCUUUUAUAGCGGAUCGUACUCAAUAAUGAAAUGACACGUGUCAUUAUGACCCAUGUGUAAUGGGGUCGAUUUGGGUCCUACAGUGUUGAAAACUUCGACAUCCAGUUUUGGCCUUUUGCUUUCUCUACAGCCGCCUUGCUUUUUCCCUCUUUCCUUUUGUUUUCCUCCUGCCCCAUUCUAUCAACUAAACACAAUUAUGUAGUUGUUUAAUUCUUAAAUGAGAUAUUAUCGGUCAAUCGUAUUAUAUUUUAUCAAGAGAGAACGGAGUGCAAUGCAGCUGUAAUUUUAUCGUUUACUUUUAUCUCUUGGACCACUGCAUUUUUGUUAAGAGGUGCAAUAAUACACGUCUUUAUCUGCCAUUCAAUGUUUACAGUAAAGAGAGGGCACAAAACUCUUCACUGCUCUGCAUGUGUCCCAAAAAUGCGAUUGGACAAAUUAUGAUUUGCAUGCUAAAAAGAGGCAAAUGAGGUUAAUUCGCACCAUAAUUAUUUGGUUUUCUGGACACCAUAAAAAGAUGUUAUACAGGCAGGGAAAAACCUUCAGAGUUAGCUACCAAAGAUAAUUAUCAAGCAGAUAUCACCAAGAGAAUUCCAUAGAGUCUGAAUCAAAGACAGAUUGCUCGCUCGUGGGGGUUCUUACUUUCUUUUGGGUAUAACUCACUGAGGUCACUGUCUUUUUUAUUUGCAUUUCACAGUUAGAGUUCUGCUCUGGAAGGUUUGUUCUGGAAACAUAUAAAAGGAGCAUCAUUUUGUUCUUGGGUAACCCAUAGUCGUGAGUGGGUCCAUUUGCAUGCUACUUAGUUGAAAAGUUGGACAAUUUGCUCCGACGCCUACCUCCUGGAUUCCAUGCUCGGUAAAACAAGAAUAAAAAAAAAUAUAUAAUUUACAAAUGGGGGAAAGAAAAAAUGUCGGAAAAAAUAGUAAAAUUCAUGUCACAUGCUAGUGAGAGAAGGGGUUGUUACACUCACUCGAAGUUCUUUUCAAAAUAUCGAAUGGUAUUUUACUUUAUGUGUCAGCGCAGUUGUGAAUGGAACGUGCAAAAGUCCAAAUUGGCGUUUUUAUUUUUCCCAUGUAGGAUGGUGACCUUUAAUAAAUAUUUAAAACAAAAGACGAAAAAAAAAAGGAGGGAAAAGGGAUCACAAAAGAUAAAAUAAUGUUUACAAAAGCUCAAUUAGUUUGCAAAUUACUGUUUGGAUUUUGAUAGUAUUUUAUUUGUCGUUCUAUAUUUGAUGUAAAAGAGAAUUUAAGAUAUUUCCGAAGCAAAAGCAUUAGUUUGCUCUGUGAUGUCCCACAUCGAAUAGGGGAGAAAGUUUCUGGCGCUAUAUAUGUAGAGGCUCCUCUUAACCAAGUAGAUGCGUUUUAAAACCAUGAGGGCCCCCUUAGGUCCAAAGCGGACAAUAUCUACAUGAUUGGGUGUAAGUCAUUACAAAUGGUAUCAGAGCCGAUCCCCGACCCCGGUGUGGGGGUUUGUUUGGCCCUGUAAGGGGUGUUUGUCUGUUUGACCCCACAAUCCCAUGGGACACAACGAGGACGUUGUGUCUGCAUGGGGGGGCGUUUGUGAUGUCCCACAUCGGAUAGGGGAGAAAGUUCCUAGUGCUAUAUAUGUAGAUGUUUCUCUUAACCAAGUAGAUGCAUUUUAAAAUUGUGAGGGCCUCUUUGGGCCCAAAGCGGACAAUAUCUACAUGGUUGAGUGUAAGUCAUUACAUGCUCCAUGUCAAUUUCAGCAUUUCUCAUAUGUUUCACACAUACACAGAAGAGCAUCGUUUUUUAAAGCAUGCAUUUAUGUUGGAUUAAUUUGGAUUUUGUGGGAACUGGGGCAAGGAUCACAUGGAAGAGAGGUUGACUUUUUUCAGUACUUCAAUGGUUGAAAUAUGUGAAGGCUUGAUUGAUACUAAAGCUUGAAAUUGCGACUCUGUCAUUUGUAAAAAAAUAUGACAGCUUCCAUGCUCUCGUUUGGUUGCAUUGUCCGGUCGAGAGGUGCAAAAAGCAUUCUCUCUCUUCUAAUAGUCUUUUCGUUUAAAUCAAGGGAUUUGCCUUCCCGGUCGAGGUCCAAUAGAGGGUAACGGUCACCUACUAAACAUUAAAUGCUCCAACAACUAGUGAACUGAUCGACCCCAGCUCGACUAGUUGAGGUUACUUUUUGGUUUUCUUGUCUCCCGAGGUUAGAAACCUAUAAAUAGAGAGCUUCACUUCAUUUAUGAGUAAGAGAACACCUAAAUUUAUUUGUUUACCUACUUGUUUUUGCCAUAAAAGCUCUCAUUUCUUUUCUUGGUGUAUUAAAUCUCCAUUUGCAUAUCCUUUAGUGCACCUUUGUGAUUCAUUCUAGCCUUGAGUUGUAUUUAAGCCUUUGUUGAGCUAGGUUGAGAGUUUCAUACUUGUUUAUUGAGUGUUAAAGCCUUCAAGUGAGUUAAAACUUGAAGAGAUUGUGUAAGAGCCCAUUGGAGUCGGAAUCCAAGUGUAAAGGUGAUUAAAAGCUUGGUUGAAGCUUCAAGUUAGUGGAACUCUCACUCGGUUAUGAGCUUGAGAAGAGUGGACAUAGACAAGGCAGUGUCGAACCACUAUAAAAUCUGAGUUUGAUUUCUCUAACCUUAUCUCUUUAUAUUUGCUUCUCUUGUGCUUAAAUUUUUUGUGUUUAAAAAGAAUUUUUAAAAACUCAAUUCACCCCCUUCUUGGGAGUUUUUCUCUUUUAAGAUCAGCUUUUAUUUUCUCAAUUGGUAUCAGAACUAUGCCUCUUGUUUAAGACUUAAUCGUCUAAGAGGAAAUGGCUAAUCCAUCAAGUUCAUCUCACAUUGAAAGUUUUGCAACCAAUAGACUUCUUUUUUUUUUUUUGCGGGAACUGAUUAUCCCUAUUGGAAAACUAAAAUGACUUGGUUUUUACAAUCAAUUGAUUUAGAUGUAUGAGAUGCCAUUGAAGAUGACCUAACUUUUCCUUCAAAACUAGUUGAUGGAGUCAUGGUUCCAAAACCUAAGCAAGAAUGGGAUGAGCGUGAUUGAAGAAAUUUUCAAUUAAAUGCUAAAGUCGUUUAUACUUUGCAAUGCUCUAUGGACAGAAAUGAAUAUAAUAGAAUAUGUCAAUGCAAAUCGGUUAAAGAAAUUUGGAGAUUGCUUGAAAUAACUCAUAAAGGAACAAAUCAAGUUAAAGAGUCAAAAAUCAAUUUACUUGUUCAUAGAUAUGAAUUGUUUUUUAUGAAAGAUAAUGAAACUAUUGUUAAGAUGAUCACUAGGUUCACCAACAUUGUUAAUGGUCUUAAAGCCUUGGGAAAGACCUACAAGGAAUCCGAAAACGUGAUGAAGAUCUUGAGGUCACUUCCAUCAAAGUGGCAUACCAAGGUCACCGCAAUUUAAGAAGCAAAAGACUUGAUCAAGCUACCUUUGGAGGAGUUCAUAGGGUCAUUGAUGACAUAUGAAAUCAAUUUGGCAAAGAAGUAACAAAAAGGUGAAGACAAAAAGAAGAAGAACAUAACUCUCAAAGCUACAACUAAGGAAGAAGAAGUUGAAGAAGAAAAACAAAUUGAAGAAGAUGAAGAUUUAGCCCUCAUCACAAGAAAGUUCAACAAAUUCAUGAGGGGUGAAAGGUUUAGAAGAAGAAGGUUCACUUCUAGAAGAGACUUUUCUAAAAAGGAAUCUUCAUCUAAUGGUGACAAAAAGAGAUGGGAAGAGAAAAGAGACUUGGUGUGUUUCAAGUGCAAGAAACCGGGACACAUUAAAUAUGAUUGUCCUCUCUACAAAAGUGAAGUCAAGAGGAAAAAGAAUAAGGCAAUGAUGGCCACUUAGAGUGAAAGUGAAGAUGAAUCAUCCGAAGAAGAAAAUGAGAAAGAAGUGGCAAACAUGUGUUUCAUGGCAAUAGAUGAACUUGAUGAGGUAAAAUCUAACCUUAGUGAUUAAGAUAUACAUGAUGCAUUUGAAGAAUUGUAUGAGGAUUUUUAAAAACUUAGUUUGAAAAAUAUUUCUCUUAAAAAGAAAGUUCAACAACUUGACAAAGAACUUAGAGAAGUAAAAGAAAAAUUUUCAAAUGUUAAAGUUUCUAAAACUCAUCUUGAAAAAGAAAAUGAGAUUCUAAGAAAGAAAAAUGAAUAGUUGAACUCCUCUCUUUCAAUCUUUUCUUCUAGACAAAAAUCUUUUGAAAUGAUUCUAACUAGCUAAAAAUGUGUUUUUGACAAACAAGGGUUAAGAUUUAAAUCUUCAAAAAAUCAAAAGUAUUUUAAAAACUAUUUUGUAAAGGAAUCCACAAGUGCAAGUCCUUCCACUACUUGCAACUUUUGUGGAAGAGAAUGGCACAUUAGUAGUACGCCCUUUAAGAAAUGGUUCUCAAAAGAAUUUAAAUGCAAAAACUAAAAAAGAUUUGGAUUGAGAAAUCCAAGGUCACUAACCCUCAAGGACCCAAAAAGAUAUAGGUACCUAAAUCAACUUGAGUUUUAUGUUGUAAGGUUCAAAGAAUGAUAAGUGGUUCUUAGAUAAUGGUUGCUCAAGACACAUGACCGGAGAUGAAUCCAAGUUUGCUUUUCUUAAAAAGAAAAAUGGAGGAUAUGUUACCUUUGGAGACAAUGCAAAAGAAAGGAUGAUUGGUCAAGGCAACAUUGGUAAUGGCACAUCCUCUCUCAUUGAAAGUGUUUUAUUAGUAGAUGGUUUCAAACAUAACCUUUUAAGCAUUAGUCAAUUUUGCGACAAAGGUUUUUAAGUGAUUUUUUAAGCAUCUCAUUGCAUCAUCAAGGAUAUUCAAAAUGAUAAAACCAUUUUCAUGGGCCAUAGAUGUGAUAAUGUUUAUGCUAUAAAUAUUUCAAAAUAUGAUGGCCAUGAUAGAUGUUUUUCAAGCAUGCAUGAUCAAAGUUGGUUGUGCCAUAGGAGAUUGAGACAUGCUAACAUAGACCUCAUUUCCCAACUCAACAAAGAUGAACUUGUUAGAGGCCUUCCCAAAAUAAUUUUUUAAAAAGAUAAAGUUUGUGAAGCUUGUCAAGUGGGAAAGUAAAUCAAAAACUCUUUUAAAAACAAAAACUUCAUUUCCACAUCUAGGCCACUUGAGUUGUUGCAUAUGGAUUUAUUUGGUCCCUCUAGGACACCAAGUCUUAGAGGAAAUUCUUAUGCAUAUGCUAUUGUGGACGACUUCUCUAGAUACACAUGAGUCUUGUUUUUUAGUCAAAAGAAUAAAGUUUUUUAUGAGUUUUCAAAGUUUUGCAAUAAGAUUCAAAAUGAAAAAGGUUUUUCAAUUACUUAUAUAAGAAGUGAUCAUGGGAGAGAAUUCGAAAAUAUUGAUUUUGAAGAGUAUUGCAAUGAGCAUGGAAUUGACCACAAUUUUUUGGCUCUUAGAACUCCUCAACAAAAUGGGGUAGUUGAAAGGAAAAAUAGAACUCUUCAAAAAAUGACAAGAACCAUACUAAAUGAAAACAACUUACCAAAAUAUUUUUAGGCCAAAACGGUUAACACUUCUUGUUAUGUUUUAAAUAGAGUAUUAUUGAGGCUCAUACUUAAGAAAACUCCCUAUGAGCUUUGGAAAAACAAAAAACCCAACAUUAGUUAUUCCAAAGUCUUUGGAUGCAAUAUUUUAUAAUAAACACCAAAGACAAUCUUGGAAAAUUUGAUGCAAAAUUGGAUGUUGGAAUUUUCCUUGGUUACUCAACUUCAAGUAAAGCUUUUCGAGUUUUAACAAAAGAACCAUGGUUGUAGAGGAGUCCAUCCAUGUUAUUUUUUAUGAAUCUCCAAGAAAGAGAGAGGAUUGAUGAUGAUUUAGGUUUGAAGACCUCUAUAGGAAGAUUGCAAAUCGAAGAUAGAAGACAACAAGAAGAAAAUGGAGAGAAUCCAAAGAAAGAAGGAUCACCAUUGGCACUACCCCCUCAUCAACAAGCGCAAGGUGAAUCAAGUCAAGAGCUUCCUAAAGAAUGGAAGUUUGUCAUCAAUCACCCACAAGAUCAAAUUAUAGGCAAUCCAUCUAGUGGGGUAAGAACUAGAUCCUCUCUUAGAAAUAUUUGCAAUAAUCUAGCUUUUAUCUCUCAAAUUGAGCCUAAAAAUAUAAAUGAUGUUUUAGAUGAUGAAAAUUGGAUAAUUGCAAUGCAAGAAGAGUUAAAUCCAUUUGAAAGAAGUGGAGUAUGGGAAUUAGUACCAAGACCUUCAAAUCAAAGUGUUAUUGGAACUAGAUGGAUCUUUAGAAAUAAAAUGGAUGAAAAUAGCAUAAUUGUUAGAAAUAAAGCAAGAUUGGUAGCCCAAGGUUUUAAUCAAGAAGAAAUGAUAGAUUAUGAAGAAACCUUUGCCCCCGUAGCUAGGUUGGAAGCCAUUAGGAUGCUACUUGCCUUUGCAUGUUUUAAAGACUUUGUUUUAUAUCAAAUGGAUGUGAAAAGUGCUUUUUUAAAUGGUUUUAUAAAUGAAGAAGUAUAUGUUGAACAACCACCCGGUUUUCAAAGUUUCAACUUUCCUAACCAUGUUUUUAAACUUAAAAAGACACUUUAUGGUUUGAAACAAGCACCUAGAUCAUGGUAUGAAAAAUUGAGUAAAUUUCUUUUGAAAAAAAUGUUUUAAAAUGGGAAAAAUUGACACAACUCUUUUUAUAAAAACCAAAGAAAAUGAUAUGCUCUUAGUUCAAAUAUAUAUUGAUGAUAUCAUUUUUGGUGCUACUAAUGUCUCUCUUUAUGAAGAAUUUUCUAAGUGCAUGCAUAGUGAGUUUGAAAUGAGCAUGAUAGGAGAACUCAACUUCUUCCUUGGACUUCAAAUCAAGCAACUAAAGGAAUGAACCUUCAUCAAUCAAGCAAAGUAUAUAAGAGAUCUUCUCAAAAGGUUCAACAUGGAAGAAGCCAAAACAAUGAAGACUCUAAUGAGCUCAUCCAUUAAGCUUGAUAAGGAUGAGAAAGGUAAAUCCAUUGACUCUAUUAUGUAUAGAGGCAUGAUAGGUUCUUUGCUCUAUUUGACCACUAGUAGACCUUACAUUAUGUAUAGUGUGUGUUUGUGUACUAGAUUUCAAUCUUGUCUUAAAAAAUCUCACUUAAGUGUCGUGAAAAGAAUCCUCAAAUAUUUGAAAGGGACAAUGGACAUAGGCUUAUGGUAUCCUAAGAGUGAUAACUUUGAAUUAAUUGGUUUUUUGGAUGCUGAUUUUGUCAGUUGUAGGGUUGAAAAAUAAAACACUAGUGGCACUUUUCAUUUCUUAAGACACUUACUUGUCUCAUGGCAUAAUAAGAAGCAAAAUUUGGUAGCUUUGUCAACAGCAGAAGCUAAAUACAUAGCAACUGGUUUAUGUUGUGCACAAAUCCUUUGGAUGAAAUAAACACUUAGUGAUUUUGAUUUAUCUUUUGAGCAUAUUCCUAUUAAAUGUGAUAAUAGUAGUGCCAUAAGUAUAUCAAAAAAUCUCGUGCAACACUCUAGGACUAAGCAUAUAGAGAUUAGACAUAAUUUUCUUAGAUAUCAUACACAAAAGGAUGAUAUAACACUUGAAUUUGUAAGCAUAAAAGACCAACUUGCCGAUAUCUUUACAAAACCUCUAAGAACAUUUUGUUGAUAUUAGAGGACAAUUAGGAGUGAUUUCUUUAUGAUCUAAUGUGAUGAAUUCUUGAUGAAUAUACUUUUUGAUUGCAUGAAUUUCAUGUCAUAUAUGCAUCAUAUAGAAAUAUACUUAGAUAAUGGUCAAAUUUCGACCAAAAAUCAAAAUUCCCAUGGCAUUAGGCAUAAAAAUUUUGGAAUUUCAACUGAAAAUGGUAGGAGGAGGAUCACAAAAUGAGAAAGUAUGCAAAAAUUGAAAAAUCAAAACGUUGACCAAGCGGUCAAUCGGACUAGACCGAUCGACUAGUUUGUCGAGAUUUAGGAUUUUUAAGAGACUCCAACGCUUCAAUUUUUGCACCGUUCUCCUCUAUUUCUUCACGGUUUCUCUGAUUUUGUCUUUUAGAGACUAAUUUGAGUGCGUUUUGGAUCAAUUGAAGCAUUUUGGAUUGGAUUUUAGGAAGAUUGAAAGUUAAGGUUUCGGAUUUGGGUCGCCUUCUCUUCCUCUCGCGUGUCACAAUCAGCUUUAGCAUUGUUCUCUUUCCAUUUUCACACACCUAGGGUUUCAGUUGUGAGCAUCUCUCUCUCUUUACCAACCACUACUCCCUUGCUUCUUCCAUAUGGCUCCUAGGCGAGAGUCCGCUACUUCUAGGGCACAAGGCAAGCACCCAACUGAGUCGUCUCAGUCAAAGGCACGUCGAAAAGUGAGAUUUGACAUUGCCUUGUUCAGUUCCAUGGAGGACUACCAACUAUACAAGCAACACUUUGCUUAGAGACGAGUAGUUCCCAAGAGAAAUAUUAAUUUUCCUCAACUUCAGCAUUUCGAAUUUAAGGGUCUAUUUACUAGGAUGGUUGGUUGUCUAUUGUCACAAUUUCGGAGCCGGUUUUCCUGACCUUAGUGCGAGUUUUUUACUCGAGGGCGACUUAUGGCAUGGGUGGCAUGAUCAUUUCUACUGUUGGAGGAGUUGAGAUCUGUCUGGACCCAGAGAGCAUCUGCCAUAUUUUCGAUAUUGCUCUGGUUGGACUCAAAGUAUACAAGUCCAAAAUGUGGCCCAUUGUGCCAGGAUUUGAGCUUAGAGAGGUCAUUCAGAGGAUUUGUGAACUUCCAGACGCCCAGGAGAUGGGCAAACCAUUGCCACACAGUUUGACGGUCAUCAACAGGGUGCUACACCAUAUAUUGUGCUCUAUCUUUCUACCACGAAGUGGACAUUGAGAUGAGGUCUCUUAUUAUGAGGCAUUCCUUAUUGACUCCAUUCUAACGGAGAGACGAAUUCAUCUACUAUGUCAUCAUUCACUAAGCCUCCUCACAGUGACAUACCACCUCAUCAGGCACCUCUUGCUCCUGACCAUGCUCCAUUGAUGGAUUUAUUUACUCAUAUUAGCUCUCUAGGCACUCGCAUGAAGGAGUUUGUUGUAGUUAGUGAUACAUGGUUCUACUCCAUAGAGGAUCGCAUGGAUCAGUAUCAGACUGGCUUCACGUCACAGUUUGAGUAUCUCCAAUAGAGGAUUGAGCAUAUUGAGGAUCACUUGAGCAUGAGAAGAUGAUGGCUUUUCUAUGCUCUGUGUUUCCACCUCCACCUCGUCAACCUUGAUUUCUUAGAGACCCAUUGUUUUCAUUUUGUAAUGUUGCCAAAAGGGGGAGAUAUUUAGGAUCUAGGACUCUAUAGGAGACUUACAUGCAUAUCAUUUUCAUAUCAUUGUUUGGAUCGUACAUAUUGGAUAGUGAUACUUUUUACUUAUAUAUGAUAUGCCUAUAUGUUUCAUGUCUUACAUUGUUUCUUAUUGCAAAUUAUCUCUAACAUGUCUUGAUUAUCUUUUUUUUAACUUCAUAAAUUUUGAUUGUUAACCCAUGAUUGGUUUGAGGGGAAGAUUCUUCUUCUCCUAGAUAACCAAGGUUUGUCAUCAUAAAAAAAUUGGAGAUUGUUAGCCCAAGGGUUCUCCUAAUCAUGUUUUGAUGAUAACAAACCAUGCUUAAGUUACUAAUUGGUUUGAAUUAUAAAGAAUUUCAAGUGUUAAUUUGAAAAUUCAUCAAAGAACCUAAUGGAUGCAAGAUCAAGAUUUUUGGAAGACCUUUAAUCAUAAGAAACAUAUGUAAGAUGAAUGCAUGGGUGCACUUAAGAUUUGCAUAUCAUUUCAUGCAUAUUUGGAAAACACGGUUUAUGCUUUAAAGUUACAUUUCCAUCAAAAUUUGAGAUCCAUCAAAUGAACCUUAGGAAAAAUGUUUUAAAAUUGGCAUAUAAUUUUACCUAAAGACCUUGCCUAAGUGUUAGAAGCAAAAGGACAAAAAAAAUAUAGGUUUUCUGGUCAAAAAUGGUGAACCAGUCAAGGCAUUGUCUAAAUCAGCUCAAUCGGCCAAGGUACCGGUCGAUCGGUUUCCCUUUCCCUGUCGAGAUCUAGUCAAGAGGUACAAAAAUCACAAUCUCUGUCUCUUUCUCUCUUUGUCUAUCUUCCAGUAGUCUUUCCUUCCCGGUCGAGGGAUUUGCCUUCCCGAUUGAGGUCCGAUUGAGAGUAAUAGUCACUUGCCAAAUAUUAAAUGCUCCAACAGUUAGUGAACUGGUCGACCCCCACCUUGCCCAGUUGAGGUUACUUUUUGGUUUUCUUGGCUCCCGAUGUUAGAAACCUAUAAAUAGAGAGUUCCACUUCAUUUAUGAGCAAGAGAACACUUGCAUUUAUUUGUUUACCUACUUGUUCUUGCCUUAAAAGCUCUCAUUUCUUUUCUUGGUGCAUUAAAUCUCCAUUUUGAUAUCCUUUAGUGCACCUUUGUGAUUCAUCUUAGCCUUGAGUUGUAUUUGAGCCCUUUUUUUAGCUAGGUUGAGAGUUUCAUACUUGUUAAUUGAGUGUUAAAGCCUUCAAGUGAGUUGAAACUUGUAGAGAUUAUGUGAGAGUCGAUUGGAGCCGAAAUCCAAGUGUAAAGGUGAUUAGAAGCUUGGUUGAAGCUUCAAGUUAGUGGAAUCCUCACUCAAUUAGGAGCUUGAGGAGAGUGGACGUAGCCAAGGAAGUGUCGAACCACUAUAAAAUUUGAGUUUGAUUUCUCUAACAUUGUCUCUUUAUAUUUGUUUAUCUUGUGCUUAAAUUUAUUGUGUUUAAAAAGAAUUUUUAAAUACCCAAUUCACCCCCCUCUUGGGUGUUUUUCUCUUUUAAAAUUAGCCUUUAUUUUCUCACAAACUAUUGUAGUAUAGUGGUUUUUAGGUGUCAUCCAUUAGGAUGAAUUGUUCUCGGUAAUUAAGGCGUGAAUGAGAGGAGAAUUAAUGAUUGUGAUUAAGUAAAAUUGAUUUGAAAAUUCAUGGUGAAAAAUCAAUUUAACAAUGGUUUCUAAUUGAGAAAAACAAUGAAAUGUGAAAUAAAAUAAAAUUAAUAGGAAAUGAAAUUCUCGAAGUUAGAAUUUUCUAAAAAACAAAUUCCAUGGUGAAUGGAUGUUGAGAUCUAAUUUUCAUCAAGUUAGAUUGAAAACCGAAAUUUUCAUAUAAACUGAUUUUUUAUUUAGUUUUAGGUCUAGAUUUAAUUUCCCUUAAAAUUAGGUUAUUUAAUCCAAGAAAUCAAUUCAAAUCAUAUAUUCAAUUCAUCUUAAAUUAUCUUCCAAUUAUUCACACAAUGCAACUAUUCAAUCUCAUCAAAUCUAGCUUUUAAGAAUUUAAUGAAUCUACCUAGUUUGCAUUGUAAUAGUCAUCCAUGACAAUUUGAAGAGAAAAAUAAUUCAAUUAAUCAAUCACUUGGAUCAAAUUACCUUUGCAAUUAAAGUUCAUUUCUCUAAUUCACCACAGAUUUUGUCUCUAGAUCCUCCUUUCUCAAAGAAAAAUGAGAUUUAGCCACACAUGAUUGGAGAUUUGGUCUCAUAAGGCAUGUUUAGCUAGUGAUAAAAUGAGAGAAAAUAAAGAAAAAUAGAGAAUUCGAUUAAGAAAGAAAAUCUAAAAAAUUCUACAAUUAGAAAUGUCCAAAAAGCUUUUUCAUGAGAAAAUCAAGUUUCUAUUUAUAGGCCAAGGUCAAGUGGACACUUGACAUCAUCUAAGAGGUCUUCCGGAAGCUUCUUCAUCAAGAAAUCUGGAGUUUAAUAAUAAAAUGGUCAUUUCACAAGAGCUCAAACAAUUUCGCAUGAUUAUGUGAAAUAAAAAAUGCAACAACAGCAAUUUACAUCUUCUUGGAGCAUUUCGCAUGACUGUGUGAAAUUUUCACAUGAUCAUGUGGAAUCGACUUGACAACUCUCAUUUAGCCUACAACAUAAUUCCACCUUUUGGUCCAUUUUUCAUAGUCAUGCGAAAUGGAAAUAUUUGAUUUUUAAGUUUUCUUUUGUCAUUUCUUUCAUUUCCUUCUCUUGAUUCCACUUCAACUACCUCCGAAUCCUGGUCCAAACCAAUUGCAUUACUUCUUUCAUUAUGCAUUUGGAUCAUCAUCAACAUUAUUUGUUCUCUUCAAUUUGAUUCAUCUCUUUUGUCACCAAUUUAUCAAAAUCAUACCUUGAAAUGACUCCAAAACUUCAUAAAACUUGUUAGUAACUCUUGCAAGGGCAACAACAUAUUAAUUAAGUGUUUUAGGCAUAGUUACUACUCAAAAGAUGCGAAACUCAUGAUAAUUAUUAUAUAAAAUAUGCUCUUUUUGAGUAGUAAUCAACUUUCUUGCAUAAGCAGACCUUUUAGGGUGGAGUACUAAAGACCAAUAUGCUUGUCCUUGUUGUAAUAAAGAAACUUGCUCUUAUUGAUUGCACCAUGGGAGAAAAUUUUGCUACAUGAGUUAUCAUCAAUUUCUUCCCACCAAUCAUAGAUUUAGACGUGACAAGAGGCCUCUUAAUGGCAAGGAGGAACUGACACUCACACUUAUACAAUUAUCGGGCAUUGAUGUGUUGCAACAAUUAGAAUAACUUACACCAAUUAUGUUGGGGAAGUCACAAAAGGCAAACAUGAAAACUAAAAGGAAAAAAGAAAAAUGUUACAUAUCACCACAACUGGAAAGAAAAAAGUAUUUACUUUCAUUUGCCAUAUUGGAAAGCACUUAUUUUACAUCAUAAUAAUUUAGACAUAAUGCAUAUUGAGAAAAAUGUGUGACAAUAUAAUUGAGACAUUGUUCAGUAUUGACGAAGAAACAAGGACAACCUAAAUAGUCAUCUCGAUUUACAAGCUCUAACUAUUAGAAAUGAGAUUCACCCAAUAGAAAGCAGGACCAAAUUUAUUUUGCUUGCAACAUGCUACUCACUCACCCCAAAUGAGAUUAAGGAAUUUUGCAAGUUUUUGAAAUCAAUAAAGGUCCCCAAUGGCUAUUCUUUCAAUAUCUCUCGUUAUGUGCAACUCAAUGAAAGGAAGAUAUAUGAGCUCAAAUUGUAUGAUUGUCAUGUCCUAAUGCAACAACUUCUCUCACUUGUAGUUCGUGGAGUUCUACAUAAGAAUGUUUGUGGAGUUAUCAUAGAAUUGCGUAAUUUUUUCAAGCAAUUGUGCUCAAAGGUGUUAGAAACAAAUCACUUACACCAACUUGAGAACAAUAUUAUUGUCAUACUAUGUAAAAUGGAGCAAAUAUUUCUUCCAUCAUUCUUUGAUAUUAUGGUGCAUUUACUUGUGCAUCUAGUAAGGCAAAGGUUGCAAGACUUGUGCAAUAUUGUUGGAUGUACCUAAUUGAACGAUAUUGUUAUAAUUUCAUAUGAAUCAUUUAAUUUUAUUUUAUAUUAUGUUCAGUUCAUUAACAUGUACAUUGGUCUACAUAUGGAUGAUGAUAGGUACCUAAGCACUUUAAAGUCAUAUGUGCGUAAUAGAACUUUUCUAGAAGGUUCUAUUGUAGAAAGGUACCUUGCAAAAGAAUGUACAACAUUUUAUUCUAGGUACUUGAAUGAUGUGGAAAUAAAGUAUAAUCACAAUGAUAGAAACUUUGUUGGUUUCAACACUAGAGGAGAUGAAAGGGGUUAUCUUUAAACAUAUUGGACAUGCAUUGGGAAAGCCCAUAUUUCAUUAACUUAGUUCAAAAGAGUGGUCACAAGCACAUUUAUAUGUGUUGACAAAUUGCGAAGAUGUCAUACCAUUCAUUGAGUAAAAAAUUUAUUUGAAUUUUAAUUAAAGCUCUAGUUUAUAUCCUUAAUCAAUGUUUUUUAAAUUCACAAGGAGCACAAGCAAACCAUCAAGGCUAGACCACAUAUACGUGUUUGAGACGUAGAUUUAAUUCAUAACAAGGAAUUUAUCAAGUGGUUUGAAAGACAUGUAAGUAUAUUCCUUAUUAUAAGGGAUUUAUUUCACAUUAUGUUUAUAUUGAAUCCAAACCUAUUAUUGAAUUGUAGGUUGAACAAUUACAUAAUGAAGGUCAUAUAUCUGAACACCUUCUCACAUUAUCAUGUGUUCCAAAUUCAUUAGUUACAUGCUUCAAAUGAUAUAUUGUCAAUGGAUUUAGAUCCCACAUUAAAGAACGUGAUAAAAAAGUUUUUAAAAAAAGACUCAGAAUAAUGGAAUUGUUGUAGUUGCAAAAACGUCAAGCUUUACAAGUGCAUGUGAUAUGAGUCCAAUUAUUAGUGAUGCUCUCUACUAUGGUGUUCUAACUAAAGUUGUUGAGUUACAUUAUCUUGGUGAAAAUAAGGUUGUUUUAUUCGAGUUUGAUUGGUGGGAUGUUACAAAUAUUGGAAAAUUGAUAAAAGAUGAUGAGUACAAUUACACAUUUGUUAACUUUGCAUGAAUUCUAACCACGAACGAACGAUUUGUACUUGCAUCUCCAGCAAAGUAAGUGUUCUAUGUGAAGAAUGCGAAUGAAUCAGAUUGGCAUACUAUCAUGGAGAUGCAACCUCAAGACCUCUAUAAGAUGAACGGGAUAGGAUCCAAUGGUGAUUUUGAACCAUUUCAACAAAGUGAACUACAUGAUCACUAAUAUAUCUCAGAUUUAGUUGAUGAAGAUAUAAUCAAGUGGAACAAAAGUGAUGUUUUAGGACUAAUCAUCCUAAAAAAUAUUGUAGUUUCUUAAAAAAAAAAUGAAAAUGAAGAAGAUAAUUGAACCUUUGUCAUACUUUAAAAAGCAACUAUGCAUUGUUCAUUUUGUAUGUUUUGGUUUUCUUCAUUUAAUUUCCUGAUUUUUGUGAUUCAAUGUCAUAUUAUUGAUCUUGAAAUAUUUUUCUAAUUUUUCAUUCUACGAUGGUUUCAACAAGGAUGACAUCAAGUCAAAAAAGGAAAUGUGGUCCCACACACAAUAUUGCAUUACAGGGAUUAAGGUCAGGGAAGAAGGUAAAAGUUGCAUUUAAUGAGUACAAUCAAUUGGUUAAACAGAAAAAUGGAAAACACUUAUCGAGCUACAUAGGGACACUUGUAUCUAACCAACACAAUGUACCUCUCCAAGCUAGUGAUUGGAAAAAUGUUCCAAAUGAUGCAAAAGAGAAAGUAUGGCCUUUGUUUUGGUAUGUUGUAUUUCUCACUAUAUGAUGUCAUUUCACUGUUAUUCUAUUUUGUGACUAACGUUUGAAUCAUAUGUAAGAAAAAUUUGAAGUAGAUAAAGACUGAAAAGAUUACAUGUUGGGUAUAGCCUCAAAUAAAUAUAGAAGCUAUAAAAAUAUGAUGAAUGCAAAAUACUAUGACCCUUGGCAUAAGGAUGCAUGAGGAGAGGUUAAUACAUAAAUCACCAUUUGUCUCUGAUGUUGAUUGGAAGUGGCUUGUCUCUGAUGCAUAAACCAAAUCCCCCACUGAAUGUUUGAUAUUUGAUAGCAGGAAAAACACACCCGCAGCUAUACACCUCCAUCAUUCAGAUAAUUAUAGUGGGGGAGAUGAUUCAUGGUUGCCCUUAUACCCUUUAUUUGCACCAUCUAUUGAGAUUCUUUAUCAUGGCCAGGUUUUACUGCAGCAAUAAGAUAUGGUGGCAACAAUUUUAUCUAUAGGUGCGGUUCCAGACCGCCUCCAUAGGUGCGGUUCCUGACUGCCUCCAUAGGUGCCUCUUCUUGUAAUGUUUGUUCUGGGAAUUACACUUGAAAGCCUUAUCGUGAUAAGGGAUUACAAACACUAGUUCAGAGGACAGCCAUGUUAAACUUCCACUAUGUUUGUGUCACAUUAUCAGCAGCCUAGUGUUUAUUGGUCAUGCUAUCUGCAACUAAUAUAACCCGGUGAACUUCAAUCUAAAUUCUGAAAGUACUCAUGUGACAGAUGGUGCCUUUCAGCAGAUAUCAUCAAUUUAAAAGUAGUGUGUGUGCCUAUAGGUGGGAAGGCCUUGGCAAAUGUUCAGUAUUCCGGUAAUUCAAGAAGGAUAUAUCUAAAAUAGAUUUUCUUCUUGCCCAUUUCAAUAGUUAAAAUUUGAGAAGAUUGUGUCCACAUCACACAAAUAUUAUUGGUCCUUCUGUUGCAAUUUACCUCUGAACAUGUCUUCCAAUUCCCACGGUCCUGUUACUCCAGGAAAACUAUUUCGGUCAUAUUGAAAAAAAAAAUAUUAAAGAAGGUACACAUGCUUUUAAGUGGACUGGGGCAUUCAUAUCAGGUGGUCUGUAUCCACAUAUGCCACUUCGUGAAAGGUGGAACAGCCUAAUCACUAGGCUAUUUAGUGUGGCCCAGCCACGUUAAUCAAGCACAAGUCUUCAUACUUAAAGUCAAAUGGUGUCUUUAGUCUCAUUACACAUCGCUAUUUGAAGAUUAACUCAUCACUAGUGUAAUGCGAUUAAGACAGUCCUAACUCAAUAUUUGUUCUAGUUUUGGAUGCAAAUGCUUGCUGGUUUCAUCAUUGGAUGGGAUAAAGGUGCAAUCAGGACUAUGAAUACGUGCAGUAAUACUUCAUUCUCUUUUUUCUCAAUGAGACUUCUUGGCACAAUUUUGCUGCUCAGCAACCUACCUUUCCAUGGAAAAUCAGUUGUGACUGAUAGUAAUGGAUAUAUUCUAGAAAGCUAAACAUAGAUAGCAUUCAAUAUUAUCGAUAUAACAUUAACAGCGUAUGUCUCAAUGCUCAUCAGCUACAAGCAAUGGACAAACACUUUGAGUAACUCACAGCAGUCAAAAUUCCUAAACAGGACAGACGUGACAGAUCUAUAUAUAGAACACUGCAUAUGAGUCACAGGAAAAGAUAAUACGGGUACAUAGAAGCUCUUAUUUUACAUAUUACUCAUACUGAUCAAAGUCGCUCAGUUGGGAUGGAUGGGAGAAGGAGGUUUGAGGGGUGGCUUGUGCGGGGAAGUUGGCAGCUUCUUUCCGGGAGCUGGUUGCUUCUUUGCUGGAGUUGAAGGAGGCUUAAUCUUCCGAGGUGGCUUGUAUGAGUCUUCAGCAUUCUCAGCAGGAGGGUGACCAGGGUUGUGACCAUAAUGUGGUGGCUUCUCUCCCUUAGGUGGUUUGCCAACUGGGGUUGGUGGCUUGUUUUCUGGGAGUGGCUUCUCUCCCUUGGGUGGUUUGCCAACUGGGGUUGGUGGCUUGUGUUCUGGGAGUGGCUUCUCCCCCUUGGGAGGUUUUUCGAAUGGGGUGGGUUUGUGUCCUGGUGGUGGCUUCUCUCCCUUGGGAGGUUUACCAAUUGGGGUCGGUGGCUUGUGUUCUGGGAGGGGCUUCUCUCCCUGGGGAGGUUUAGUGGGUGGCUUGUGUUCUGGAGGUGGCUUCUCCACCGGAGGCUUAUGCUCUGGUGGUGGCUUCUCGAAGGGGGGAUGCUCAGGGUAAUCACCAAGUGAGGGGGUGGUGAGAACCACCAUGCCAAGCAACAACACUAGCAAGUAUGUAGUAGACAUCUUUGGGUUUGGACUCAGACAGUGCAAAACUACGAGAAAUCGCUAGCCCUUUAUAGCGGCUCGGACCUAAUACUGACAUAAUAUAAAAUAAAUAUUAUAUUUUAUCAAGAGAGAACAGAGUGUAAUUUUAUCAUUAAUACCGAUCGAGGCCAAAGAAAGAAGACCCAUAAUCCAUUUCCCACAAGCAUACACAAUGCAGCUGUAAUUUUAUCAUUUACUUUUAUCCCUUGGACCACUGCAUUUUUGUUGAGAGACACAAUAACACAUUUUUAUCUGUCAUUCAACAUUUACAGUAAAGAGAGGGCACAAAACGCAAUUAGAUAAAUUAUGUUUUGCCUGCUAAAAAGAGGCAAAUAACUUUAUUUGCAACAUAAUUAUUUUGGUUUCUAGUGACCCCGGGGCCUUUCGGUUGGUUUGGGAUCGGAAAAUGAACAUCAUAGGGGGGGUUGUGCCCUUAUGGGCAUAUAUAUCUGAUAGCUUCAACUGGCCUUGUUCCUAGAAAGAAAUUGCCAAAGAUAUAAACUUAUUCCAGGCUGAAAGUAGAUGAGAGUCAUAAUGAACAUCAACCUUUGUUCAGUUUGAUUCAAUGCCCCCAUAGUGUUCAUUUCACAGAUCUGAAUGAUUAUAUCCGUUGAAUACAUAAAUUAAUGAAGACAAAUAUGAAACCCAAGAUACAUCUCUGCAUAACAACCCCAACCCUGGUUGCUAUGUUUCCCUUCUUCUAUUCACAUGAGGAUACUGGUUAUAAUUGUCAAACUUGCAACAAGCCCUUUGACACCUAACGUCAAUGGACGAAUUAAAAGUCUCCUUCAAACGUCUAUUUCACAGCAUGAAGCUUAUAAAGGAUGCUGACAACCUUCAGAGUUAGCGACAAAAGAUAAUUAUCAAGGAGAGAUAGUUCCAUGAGAAUUCCAAGGAGUCUGAAUCAAAGACAAAUUGCUCACUCAAGGGUUCUUAUUUUCUUUUAGGUACAAAUCUCUUGAGUGUUGUUAAAGAAACACGUCACUGUCAUUUUGAUUUGCAUUUAACAUUUCACUUUUGUUCUGGAAGGUUUGUUCCGGAAACAUAUCAAAUGAGCAUCAUUUUCUUCUUCGGUGACACAUGGUCGCGAGUACGUGGGUCCAUUUUCAUGCCACUUAGUUGAAAAGUUGGAAAGAAAAAACAUGCCAACAAGAAGAUAGUGAGAGAAGGGGCACUUCAAGCCUUUAACAUGAACAAACAGUAAAUAAAAGAUGUUUCUCCACUCAUAAAAGUGUGUUAGAUAGCAAUAUAACGAAUCACAUCCAAAAUCUUUACUAGGCUCAAACAUAAAGAAGACUCAUUUUUAAGAAAAGAUAAAAAUGGCAUUGUCUGAUAGUAUCCAAUACACGAGAUGGCACUUAAUUUGUACAAGAUCUGUCAAUGCUGACGCACAUUUUCUGAUUAAAAAAAAACUGAUCAGUCAAAAGCAAUGAAGAGAAGUGAUGACAAUGAAUGAUGCUUCCAAUAUUUUCACCCCUUAUAGUGUUCUUCAUGAUUCAGAUAUAUAAUUGGAAAUAGAACAACCCUAUGCCAUACAUUCGUCUAAGUAUGGUGUCUAAUUUUUUGUGUCAGCGGUUGCGAAUGGAGCGUGCAAAAGUCCAAAUUGGCGUCUCUCCAUUUCCACAUAGGAAGGUGACCUUUAUUGACAAAUACCCAAUAUUUGUAGACAUUCCUUAAAUAUCAUAACUUCUUGUUGAUUUGAAAAUCAUUUUUCAACUACCAUGUUUUAAUAAAUAUUUUUUAAAAUGUAUUUUUAUCAAAGUCCACCAUGAUGGAUAAUAUUCACCAUGCAAUAAUUAAUAAAGUACAAACUAAGCGAAAUGAAAAGCAUUUUCUUUGCUUUGAGUUGAUUUUGGUUGCAUUGAGUUGAUUUUGGUUUCAUGGUUUUUUCAACUCUUAUUUUGAUUGGAAGAUGUCAAGAAAAGAAAACAUAAAGAAAAAUUAAAAGGGAAAAAAGAAGAAAAAUAAAAAAAAAUAGAUUUAAAAGUUAAUAAAUUAUUUUUUAUAUUUAUUUUAAUUCAUUUCACUUAUUUUUCUUUUACUAUAUAAAAUUUAAAUAAUUUAAAUUUUAUAAUUAAUUUAAUUACAUUUCAUUUUCUUCUAUAUUUAAAUAUUGGAAAAAUAUUUUACUUAAUAUUUUUUUCUUUAAUUUCUUUGGCAUUUUGGGAACCAAACUUAGCCUUUAAAAUAAAAAACAAAAAAAAAAUGAAAAUAAGGAGGGAAAAGUGAGAAAAGAUAAAAACAAUAUGUAAAGGAUUUGAAAAGUAUUAGUUUGUAAUUACUAUUUGGAUUUCAAUAGUAUUUUAUUUGUCUUUCUAUAUUUCAUGUAAGAGAGAAUUUAAGAUAUUCCCCAAGGCAAAGCAUUAGUUACCUGCAAUCAGUGGUGAUAAGGCUCCAAGCCAAUUUUGGGCCCCAUAUCUUAAGACAGUACAAUUUCCAUUUCAACAUUUCUGAUUUCUCAGAUGUUUCACAUACCACAGAAGAACAUUGUUUGUGAAAAUAUGCAUUUAUGUUGGAUUUUGUAUGCUGUGGGGACUGGGGCAAGGAUCAUAUGGAAGAGUGGUUGACUUUUUCUGUACUUUAACGGUUGAAAUAGGAUAAGCACGGGCAUUUGUGAGGCUUAAUUGAUUUUGAAGCCUGAAAUUGCGUUUCUGUCAUUUUGUCAAAAAAAUGGCAGAUUCCAUACUCAUAUGUUUGGCCUGUGGCCAUGUACAGAUGCCAUUUAGUGACCAGUUUGUAACUGUCAAUCGUUGCGUUUUGACUCUGCCUCAACAACAUCUGCCAUUGACGGGUUUUCAUACUUGCAAAUCAAAUAGUCUUUCGUCCCAUCAGGAAUUUCGGUUUAAAUAUUAUUAAGCAUACGUUUGGCUGACAAUCAUUAUCCAGUUCAUGAUUUGGUUUCUUACCCUUAAUCAAUGGUUUCUAAGUGAAUAUAUGUAGAAGGAAAUCCGAAGUGUAGACAGUAGUAUCGAUAACUCUCAAUAUUCUCUAUAUAAUAGAAUAAACAGCGUCAUAGUGAUCGUCGCCUACAAGCAAGGUACAAAUACCAAAACGAGUGACUCACAUAGACAUCUCCCAACAAGAUGUAGUAGUGACUGACACAUGGACACAAUUAACUCGUAGAAAAGGAUAAGACCAUUGCACAGCAGCUCUUAUUUUACAUACUACUUAUGCUAACCAAAGUCAAUUAGUUGGGAUGGGUGGGAGAUGGAGGUUUGUGCGGUGGCUUGUGGGGCGGAGUUGAUGGCUUCUUUCCAGGAGCUUCUGGCUUUUUCAUCGGAGCUGAAGGAGGCUCAAUCUUAUGAGGCGGCUUGUAUGAGUCUUCUUUACUCUCGACAGGAGGGUGGCCAGGGUUGUGAUCAUAAUGUGGUGGCUUCUCUCCCUUAGGUGGCUUGCCAACUGGGGUUGGUGGCUUGUGUUCAGGAAGUGGUUUCUCUCCCAUGGGAGGUUUAGCAAUUGGGGUUGGUGGCUUGUGUUCUGGGAGUGGCUUCUCUCCCUUGGGAGGUUUAGUAGGUGACUUGUGUUCUGGAGGUGGCUUCUCCACCGGAGGCUUGUGCUCCGGUGGUGGCUUCUUGGUUGGAGGGGGCUUGGGGUAAUCAGCAAGAGAUGGGGUGGUGAGAACCACCAGUCCAAGGAACAACACUAGCAAGUAUGUGGGAGACAUUUUUGAGUUUGGGCUGAUCAGAUGAUGCAAAACUAAAGCAUUACGUGACCUUUUAUAGCAUGUAGCUCCCAAUACCCACUAAGUAUUGUGGGGUCCAUUUGUGCCCUACGGGGUUGAAAACUUAGACAAUUGGGCAAGGACCCACCUGACUAUGGAGGACUAGUGAGGUGUGAUCAUAGCUUUAGGAUUUUUCUUCCUCUGCAGCCGUCGUGCCGUUGGCAUGAUUUUCUUAAUCUUAAAUAAAGGCAUAGUUAUAGAGUUGUUUAAUCUCUAAAUGGGAUUUUAUAUAUAUCUUCAGAUAGCCAUUAAUAUAUUUGAUGAAGAAAGAAAGACAAGUGCAUACAACAUGUAUACGACUAGCUUUCAUGGAGUUCAUUUAUGAUCAGUUUUCCUGUACAUGUAAACCAGGAUCAUAUAUAUGUUUCUGUUCCACAACUAUUUUGGAAUCUUGUUUAUCAGUUUUUAUCAUUAUAAUGUCACAUAGGCUGCCAACUUGGGCGCUAAAAGAACCAGUUGGGCUAGUUCGUUUCAGAAUUUCAAUGUGGAUUCAGGAAUUGUUUUGUAAGAUAUGCGAAAUAGUAGAGGGAUGAAUAGUGUUUCAUUAAUAAAAGUGUCCUGUAAAUUAGAAGGUGUCAUAGAAACUAUAAUCAAUAAAUAACUUUUUUUCCCCACGGGUGGUGUUUCUUGUGGGGAUCAGUGACUGGUUUAGGUUCACCCAAAAUGAGUUCAGACUAAAAUUGGUUUGAGUCAAUGCCGUGUCUCUUUUUUCCAGAAAUCAACUAUUUUAUGCAUUGAAUAAAUCAUACAAAGAAAAUAUGAACGCCCGCAAAACCUAAACCCUGGUUGCUAACUUUCUAUGUUUCAGUUCUAUUCACGCAAGAAUAUUAGUUUAAGUUUGGGAAAAAUGGCAACUUACCUAGUGAUUACUUGGUUUUGGUUUGCGACUAUUUACGCAACCAACCAUGAGUUUGACUUUAACGUCAUGGGUUGAAGCCUCCUACAGGAAGGGAGAAAGCUCCACAGCUAGCUCCAAAAGAGAAUUAUCACAUUGAUAGCUCCAGAGAUUCCCAAGGGGACUGAAUCAAAGACAAGUUCCUCACUUUUUCUUCUUUUGAGGCCAAAUAUGAACCAAGGAUCACACAACCUCAUUCAACUUCAUAAGUUUGAUUUCAUGCAGUUGAACACUGGGUGAAGGCCAUGACAAGAAUUGAUUCAAAAAUUCUAUCACUCUUUUAAGUAAUGGAAGAUUAUUAUCUCUGAUUGGCAUCACAACAGCACAUGCUCCUAGAUCUUUCUAGACACUCCAUGCAAUGAAAGCACAAUGGAUCUUGUAACGAUAGAAACUAAGCCAUGCUACAGUACUAGAUGAUGAGGUAAAACUAGUAGACACGGGUGGCAGCCUAUAUGGGAGGGACACAAGUCUAAUUGAUUUGCAUUUCAGCAUUAUAGAUAGGUAUGUUUUGGAAGAUUUGUUCUGGAAAUACCGCACCAAGUAGGAUUCUUUUUCUCUUUAGUGGGUCCACUUGCAUGCCAAUUAACGAGUUGAAAAGUAUGAGCACCUACCUCGUGCUCGUGGAACCGAAGGUCAGUGAAGUGGGGCUCCUUUUGGCCUCGUGUAAACUUGAUUCAGAAGUGAAGUUAAUAGUCUUCCAUUCAGAUGGAUACAUGGGAAUUUUUCUCUUUUAUUUAUUUAUUUAUUUUUUUUUUGUGUGUGUAUGUCAAAGGAUAAUGAAUGAAGCGCGUUAGCUUGUUUUCUGACUGGAACCGCAGAUGUCCAAAUUGGAGUUCCUUCAUUUCUUACUUAGGAUUGUUACAUGUAUAAACAAGGUAUAAGAAAUAUGCCAACGUGUCUUGAGGAGUUAUUGAUUAGAAAUAACAAGUCACCCGACUGUAGAGUUCCAAGAUUUGAAUCUUCAGACCCUAUAGCAGCCUCUGGGGUACGUGGCAUCCUAUAGCAUAUUAAUGAAGGCUUUUUCGAUUUAGACUUCACAAUACCAAUUAAUAUGUAUGCACAAAAUGGAGAUGACCCCAAAAAAAACAGAAUCGCCAUAGUUUAUGAGGUUAAGGUGAUUCUCCACUUAAUAUCUACAUUAGCUAAUUAUGUAAAUCAAAUGAACUUCUAUUUUUCCUUUUUUUUUUUGGUUUAUGUCAAAUAGUAGCCCAUAAUUAACCCAACCAUUAGCCUGUUUGAAUUGAUUUCACAUGCACAAUGUUGUAGUAGUUCAUAUUUUGAAUUUUAUUUUUACAAAGGUAGUUAAGGAAAAUGAAGUAUAAUAAUUAUAAAAGCAGACUAUAUACACUACAAUAAUUGUUAGAAUGGUAUCUCAAAUUCUAAUUUAAAAUAUUAUUUUUUGUAAAAGAAAUAUUAUAUAGAAUAUUUCCUAAUUUUAUAAAUGAUUAUAAUUAGAUCUUUAUAAAAUAAGGAAAGUUGGUAAGAAUAUCUUUAUAAAUAUUUUAGGUCAUGAGAGAAAGAAAUGGGAUAAAAAUGUGAUGAAGAGGUGAAAUAAGAGAGUUGAUUAGGAUAUAGAUGUGAAGAAGAAAGGGAUUCAAUAUAUAUAUAUCUUUCAAUUACCACAUUAAAACCCUGUGAACCUUUUAUAUGGUUUACUUUAUUUUUAUAUUCCUCCUUUAAUAUAUUUACAUUAAUGCUUCCAUUGGCACAACAAUAACGAAUUACAAAUACAAGCAACAAGUCCCAUGUUUUAUUACCAAAAGCAGGUAAAAUCCACCUAAUAUAUUACAAUAUAUUCAUCCAAUAUUUUAGACCAAUUCUUCACCAUAAAUAUCAUAAUGUGGCUUUUGUUCUUUCUUAAAUUUAAAUUGAAUUGUCUUAUAUCAAUUUGUUUGUGAUUUUUUCAUUAACUUCACUUUCAUUUGGUUAUCUUUGGUUUUUGAAAAGUAUUAAGGAAUUAAUUAACAAAAUAAUGUUAAGAAAAAUAAUUUUCUCUCUUUUGAUUUUGAUUUUGUAGUAGAAAAAUAUAAUUAAAAUUAUUUAAAAAGUAUGUAAUUUUAAAUUAUUUAAUAUUUAGAUAAAAAAAAUAAGUCUAAUGAGUUUAAAAUAACAUAUAAAAAUAAUUUAUUUAUUUUAAAUUUAUUUUUUAUUUUCCAUUAUGUUCUCUUUCUCUUUUACUUUUUCAUAUUUUUUCUUACGAAGAAUCAAACACAACCUCAUAUUAUAUGUCAAGUGUUUGUCUAUAUUUGAGCAAUGUUAGAUACGGCCAUGGAUUCAUCAAACUAAACUGAUUUUAAUAGAUACUUCACAAAUUGAUUUAUACACUAAAUCAUUGGAUAGCAAUGAUGCAUUGGAAUUAAACGUAGGAUGAAGCUCGAAGAACACUGUUUGUGUAACAACAUAUUUAUGAAAUUAUGCAAAGGAUGAGCUUCGGGGUAGUAGUACAAGGUCAUUAAUGGAGAGCCGUGUUAAACCUUGAUUGUGAUUGGAUUCCGUUAUCAGCAACAGCAACCUUGUUUGUAACCUUGAAAGUCAUUCUGUCCACAUCGAAACUCCAAUUUGACGUUUGUAAUUACCAUUCCUGGAGUGUUCCUUGAUUGAAAUUUAAAUAAUAAUUGCGGCCCACAAGGAAUAUUUUCGAUUCUGUGGGAAUUUGACAAGGUUUGUUAGAGAAGACUGGUGACAUGUUGACUUCAAUGGUUCAAAUAGGAGACGUAUGUGGAUUUGGGGGGUUUAAUUGAAACUGAGUCCCUAUGGCUUUUUAAUAUUUGCAUUGAGCAGUCUCCAUGUGACUUCCUAAUUCCCACCAACCCUCCUGUCCAUGCUGUGAAACUAAAUUGUAAUUUAUCAGCCUUUGUCAAUGGUUUCUAAAUUAAAGAUAUAGACCAUGCAUGUACUUUAAUAAAAGCAAAUCUAAAGUGUAGAUAGCAGCAAUGGUGACACCCAAUAUUCUCCAUAAAAUAGAAUUAGAAUAAGCAGUGUUACAUUGUUCAUGAUCACCUACAAGCAUACAAGAACUUCCAUGAAUAACUCAUAGCAAUUGCCAACAGGGCGUCGUAGAGACUCAUACAUAGAACACUAUCCACCCAGAGGAAAGGACAAGACCAGUGCGCUGCAGCUCUUAUUUUUCACAUGUAUACCACCACUCGUAAUAACCAAAUUCACUCAGUUGGGAUAGGUGGGAGAUGGUGGUUUGUGGGGUGGCUUGUGGGGAGGAGUUGGAGGAGGCUUUAUUUUCUGAGGCGGCUUGUAUGAGUGUGCAGGAGGAUGCCCGGGAGUGUGACCAUAAUGUGGUGGCUUCUCUCCCGUAGGUGGUUUGCCAAAUGGGCUUGGUGGCUUCUCUCCCUUAGGAGGUUUACCAAUUGGGGUUGGUGGCUUGUGUUCUGGGAGUGGUUUCUCUCCCUUGGUAGGUUUGCCAAUUGGGGUUGGCGGCUUAUGUUCUGGGAGUGGCUUCUCUCCCUUGGGAGGUUUGCUAAUUGGGGUUGGCGGCUUAUGUUCUGGGGGCGGCUUCUCUCCCUUGGGAGGUUUGCCAAUUGGAGUUGGCGGCUUAUGUUCUGGGAGUGGCUUUUCUCCCUUGGGAGGCUUGCCAAUUGGGGUUGGCGGCUUAUGUUCUGGGGGUGGCUUCUCUCCUUUAGGAGGUUUGCCAAUUGGAGUCGGCGGCUUAUGUUCUGGAAGUGGCUUUUUUCCCUUGGGAGGUUUGCCAAUUGGGGUUGGCGGCUUAUGUUCUGGGGGUGGCUUCUCUCCCUUGGGAGGUUUGCCAAUUGGAGUCGGCGGCUUAUGUUCUGGGAGUGGCUUCUCUCCCUUGGGAGGUUUUGUUGGUGGCUUGUGUUCUGGAGAUGGCUUCUCCCCUGGAGGCUUGUGCUCCGGAGGUGGCUUCUGAAAUGGCGGGGGCUUGGGGUAAUGAGCAAGAGAUGGAGUACUG
Molecule: long non-coding RNA, 80371 nt
Filed under: Vitis vinifera (wine grape)
Lineage: Eukaryota; Viridiplantae; Streptophyta; Magnoliopsida; Vitales; Vitaceae
Description: long non-coding RNA (VVIN_LNC001392)
Source: RNAcentral